CAACAUAAUGCGCCCAAAUAUUUUCCCCAUAAAUACGCUACCACAGCAUCAUAGCUUGACCAGGUCUGAAUCCAUGAGAUUGAACCCAUUUCUGGCAUAGUGGAUUCCCACAAUUAUUACUUGGAAAACUUGAACAUAAAAGUAUACAUAAAUUCUCAUGUUUGGAAUAUUAGAAUUCAUUUUGAAUUUCUAGCCUAGCUAGCUUGUACCACAGUUUAAAAUUAUAUACUUUUUUGAAUUUAGCAUAGGAAGAAAAAGAGAGUAGAAAAACACACUUCAAGCUCAGUGUAAUUCAUUCCCUUAAGAAGCACCUUUGAACCCUUGGUUAGAAUAGCAUUCAUGUCUCUAAUUCCUACACAAAUAAACAGCCACAAAACAAAUAAAUAAAUAAAAUGGGAGCUCGAAAAACAACAUAUGUUACUAGGAAACGAUUUAUCUGCUUACCCAUAUCAACAGGAAGUAGUAACGAUGAACAAGCUGCGGUCGAAACGGAACGACGCGCGGAAGAGAAAAGAGAAGUGAGGUGGAGAUGGAGAUUGGGCGGCGUCGGUGAUGAAGAGAGUUGUUUUAGAGAGGAAAGAGAGAGAUGAGAUCGAUUAGGGUAAGGAAUUGAGAGCGAAGCAGAUGAGGAGGCCAUGGAAGGGUGAUUUACAAGAACCACUGAUCGCACGCGCCUCAUCCACAUACAACCCAUCUCCGGUCUCCGAUUUCUUGUAGCCCGAAAGUAGUACAUGUUCAUUUGAUGAAAAUAUAUAUUAACAUCAUCACAGCCGACAAGAACUUAAGAUUUAAGUAUAGCGGAAAUUUUCAAUUUUUUAUGAUAAUUUCAGAAAAACAAAAGAAAAAUUCAUCAGAUUUAAUUAAUUUAACUAAAUUCAGGAUUCAAUCAUUAUUGCUAAACAGUGAACUGAUCAUAAAAGUGAAUUGAUCAUUCAGAAUUUGAAAUAAUCCGUAGCACCUGUAUAGUAAUCGCAGAGCUUAAAACCAACAAAUGAAAAAAUAAAGGGAAAAAGAAAAAGGAAGGUUCUCACCAAUUUCAAGCGAUUAAUCAAAAUUUGAAGAGAUAGGUUCUUUCUUGAAUAGACCAAUUUCAGGCGUUUUUUCCUUUUUGCAGAAGGGAAAAAGAAAUUGAGACGAAGAAGAAGAGAUCAAGCGAGAGACUUAGUAGGAAGGAGAGGCGUGGUCGGGUCGGGUCGUGGAGAGAUAGUAAGAUUAGGGUUUUUUUUUUUUUUUGUUUUUUUCAAAUGAUUAUGAAAAUAAUUGAAUAAAUGAAAUUAAAGGAUGAACACUGAAAUUAAAUAAGAUUUUUAUUUCUUUUCUAUUUUAUGGUAACUAUACAAAAUAGCACAUUUACAAUCCAUGUGUACCUAAAGAGCUACAUUAUCUCAAAAAAAGAAUCACACAGGUAAAAUAUUGUGCUCUUCUGUAACAUCUUUAUGGUAACUACACAAAAUAGCAUAAUUUCAACUGAUAUAUAGCUAGAGAGCUACAUUAUUUAAAAAAGAAUUACACAGGUAAAUUAUCGUUCUCUUUUAUAAUAUAACGUCUUAUGAUUUUAACUUCUAUAAUAUAACGUUUUAUACUUUCAAUUUUCUCAUUGAAUUUCUCUCGUAGUGUACUGAUUAAAUAAUAGAUCUCUUCCCUUGAAUUAUAUAUUACUCCAGCGAACAAGGAGGCCCAUAAAAUUAAAAUGAUCCAACCAAAAAUUGGGAGAACCAUAAAUACAAGUGCGACUACGGCCAAUCCAACAGCAAAUAAGCCAACUUUGCUAUUAAUUGAAUUGAAUGAAUUCCAAGCUUGAAAUAUAGUUCCAAACCCGUAUGUGAAUAGAGCAACGAGAAAGAUUGGUAAUAUAAAGUGUCUGUCUGUAUCAUCCAAAUGCUUGAUUUGAACGAGGCCAAUUAAACUUGAUAUAGUCAAGGUGAAAACAUUAUGCACUGCGUUUAAAUUUUCCCUGAAAAGAAAAAUGAAAUAAAAAAACUAUUAGAAGGCUUUAGCACAUUUCAAUUUAACUAUAUAUAUUUGUAAUUGAUAAGGAUAAACAAAGUUGCAUAAAUUUUAUAGACUUAGCAAUAAUUGCAAAACGGGUAAAAAUUUUGGAAGAGUUUUGAAUAAUCUUUCAUGAAUUGAAUAAAGAUUGAUAGCUUGAAACGAUAGAGAAGUUAAACAAAGUGUGCUCUGUCUAGUCAUGAUCAAAUACAGAAAAACUUGAAGAUAAAAUAAAAAGUUUGCAACCCAAUCCCAAUAUUUAAUGAUACUUACAUUUUCUUCUUCGUGCUUGUUGUUAGAGAAUGCAAGAAUGGUAGAGAACGCAAGAAUAUGAAGAUAGGAGAGGAGCUUGUUACUAGGAGCAGGUCGCAGAGGAGAUGCUCGCAGAGGAGAUGGCAAGAAUAUGAAGAGAGGAGGAGCAGGUCGCAGAGGUGAUGGUCGCAGAGGAGAUGGCAAGCAUAUGAAGAUAGGAGAGGAGCUUGAUACUAGGAGCAGGUCGCAGAGGAGAUGCUCGCAGAGGAGAUGGCAAGAAUAUGAAGAGAGGAGGAGCAGGUCGCAGAGGUGAUGGUCGCAGAGGAGAUGGCAAGCAUAUGAAGAUAGGAGAGGAGCUUGAUACUAGGAGCAGGUCGCAGAGGAGAUGCUCGCAGAGGAGAUGGCAAGAAUAUGAAGAGAGGAGGAGCAGGUCGCAGAGGUGAUGGUCGCAGAGGAGAUGGCAAGCAUAUGAAGAUAGGAGAGGAGCUUGAUACUAGGAGCAGGUCGCAGAGGAGAUGCUCGCAGAGGAGAUGGCAAGAAUAUGAAGAGAGGAGGAGCAGGUCGCAGAGGUGAUGGUCGCAGAGGAGAUGGCAAGAAUAUGAAGAUAGGAGAGGAGCUUGUUACUAGGAGUAAGUCAGAGGAGAUGGUAUUAUAUAAUAUUCUAGUCUAGUCAAUAUACCUAGACAUUGACAUUGACAGGGUGGAAUUGGAGGGUUGGAGAGGGUUGGAGGGUUGGCAAUUCCAUUGCACAGUUCAGGGUGGUGUAUUUUAGAAGAUAAUAUUAUAUAAUAUUCUAGUCUAGUCAAUUUUUCCAGGCCCAACCUCAUUGAAUUUUUCCAUUUUGGUCUGAUGGGCCGUUGAUUCUUCGAUUCAAUUUUUCCAAGCCCAACCUCAUUACCUUGUGUCAGAAUUUACAGAUACUAAUAGGUAAUAAAAAAAGAUUUCAAUACUUUUACACAGGCAAUAUGGGACAAUAUUAUUCUUUGGAAAAAAAAAAAAAAAGCUAUUAUUGCUGUUGAUGGACAAUAUUAUGUCUUCCCACCAGCAAGACAUCUCCAGUUCCGAUUCGAUCCGGUUCCGAUUCUCACCGGUUCCAAUUACGAUUCGGGACCGGUUCGAACCGACGGUUCCGAUUUCCGAAACCGUAAUAUGGCCACCCCUAAAUAUGGGACAAUAUUAUUCUUUGGAAAAAAAAAAAAAAGCUAUUAUUGCUGUCUUCCGAUUGCCUUUCCAAUCCUAUUCCUACUGUUGUUUCUCUCACAUCUGCCUUAAUUAUUCAAUAAAUAAAUUUUCAUUAUUACUUUUUUCAGUUCAUUAAUAUUGGCAAUUGGUAAAAAGGGAUGGAUUAUGAUAUCAUAUUAAAAAAAAUAAAAGCUGAAUAUGCAAACUUAGGUAUCAAAAGCUAAAAGUACUAAUAAUUAAUUAUAAGAAAGUGAUGUAAGGAUAAACAAAAUUAAAUUUUUUUUUUUUUAGCAAAAUGUUUUUAACAUACUCAAAUAUAAAUUCACCUCUAAUAUGAUUUGUUUUUACAUUUUAUUUUUACUUCUUGCACCUACAUAUUUUAUAUUGUAUAUUGUGGCCUCCUGCUUUUAUUAUUGUAUUAAACCUACUCUUUUUUUACUCUAUAUAUAUUGCAUUAUUUUAUUUUAUUUUAUUUUGUUGUUGCAUUGCUUUUGAUUCUUUUUCUUUUUAUAAAGAACAUGAUGUUAUCUCGCAUUAUGGAUUAAAUAAAACAAUACUUCUUUCGUUGGAUUUAUGCAUAUUAAUUUGGGAUAUACAUGCAAAAAAUUUUGGUUCAAGGUAUAAAUUCAUCCCUGUACUUUUUUUACGAGAAAUCUCGUGACAUUCUCAACUUUUAUUUUUUCUUAUUAAAUAUUUCAACUUAUAAAAUUGCACUUAUUAAAUACUUUAAUUGCAUUUAUUAAAUACUUUAAUUGACUUAUUAAACACUUCAAUUUAUAAAAUUAAAUCGAUUAAAAUACUUAUUGAAUAGUUCAAAUGUAAAAUUUAUUGUUUUAAAAAUUAUAUUAACUACAUAUUAAAUUAAUAUUUUGCAUAUAAAACUAAAAAAAUUUAAAAUUUAUUAUUACAAUAACGAGAUGAGAGAUCAUAUAAAAAUAAAAAUUAGAAUGCCACAAAAUUGAUUUUAAAAUUUACAAAAUAUCAUGAAUUUUUUUUUAUAAAUUUUAAAAGUUAAAUUAUAUAUUGCGCCGAAAGAAAAUCUACACGCAACUAACGUAACGCAACAGACUUUUCUCCCUCAAAAUUUUAAAUUAUUUAUUUCGAAUUUUUUUAUUGCUCAACUCACUUGCUGCUCUCUUUCCUUCUGUGCCUUCGGCCCGGAUUGACAAGAAUGAUACGAAUACGUACUUCAAAAGUGAUUCAGACAAUUUACCCAUAUACAUAAAUUCAACGUUUAGCUUUAUUACUUAAAUUUUACAGUGCUUUUAAUUUUUUAUUUAAUUCAUCCAACAUUUUAAUUUAUAAAAUUAUUUUAUUAAAUAUUUCAAUUUACAAAAUAGAUCAAUUAAACACCUAUGAAAUAAUUAAAAUUUAUGAAAAUUAUUAUUCUAAAAAUUUUAAACAUUAUUGUUGUUACUGUGAAAAAAUAUUUAAUAUUACCAAAAUUUAUAAAUUCAAAUAUACGAUAAAUCAUCAUAAAAUUAAGGAUAGCAAGAGUUAAAAUUGCAAAAUUAGAGAGUAAAUUUAUAUAUUCAACGCUUUUUUAAGAUUUUAAAUAAUGUUUCCUUGGCAUUUUUCAAUUUUAAAAAUUAUUACGGUAUUAUAUAAAUAUUUUUUGUUAAGAGCUAAAAUAAUUUAAGAAGAAAUAAAGUAAGAAAAUGGUAAGCUGAAAUAUUUUAUAUUUUAUGGCUUUCAAAGAAGAAAUAAUGUAAGAAAAUGCUAAACUGAAUCGGGCCAAAAACAUAAUCAAACAAAAUCAACUUUUAAAAAAAAGAAAAAAGAAAAUAAUAAAAGAUAUGAAAAGGAAGAAAAGGAUGGAGUUGUAGUUAAACAAAAUAUUAAGGUCUGGAUCCAUGAGCUUGAACCCGUUUCUGGCAUAGUGGAUUCCCACAAUUAUUACUUGGAAAACUUGAACAUAAAAUUAUACAUAAAUUCUCAUGUUUGGAAUAUUAGAAUUCAUUUUGAAUUUCUAGUCUAGCUAGCUUAGCUUGUACCACAGUUUAAAAUUAUAUACUUUUUUGAGUUUAGCAUAGGAAGAAAAAGAGAGUAGAAAAACAUACUUCAAGCUCAGUGUAAUUCAUUCCCUUAAGAAGCACCUUUGAACCCUUGGUUAGAAUAGCAUUCAUGUCUCUACUUCCUACACAAAUAAACAACCACAAAACAAAUAAAUAAAUAAAAUGGGGGCUCGAAAAAUAACAUAUGUUACUAGGAAACGAUUUAUCUGCUUACCCAUAUCAACAGGAAGUAGUGACGAUGAACAAGCGGCGGGCGAAACGGAACGACGCGCGGAAGAGAAAAGAGAAGUGGGGUGGAGAUGGAGAUUGGGCGGUGGCGGUGAUGAAGAGAGUUGUUUUAGAGAGGAAAGAGAGAGAUGAGAUCGAUUUGGGUAAGGAAUUGAGAGCCAAGCAGAUGAGGAGUCCAUGGAAGGGUGAUUUACAAGAACCACUGACCGCACGCGCCUCAUCCACAUACAACCCAUCUCCAUUCUCCGAUUUCUCCUAGCCCGAAAGUAUUACAUGUUCAUUUGAUGAAAAUAUAUAUUAACAUCAUCACAGCCGACAAGAACUCAAGAUUUAAGUAAAGCGGAAAUUUUCAAUAUUUUAUGAUAAUUUCAGAAAAACAAAAGAAAAAUUCAUCAGAUUUAAUUAAUUGAACUAAAUUCAGGAUUCAAUCAUUACUGCAAAAAAGUGAAUCGAUCAUUCAGAAUUUGAAAUAAUCCGUAUUAUAGUAAUUGCAGAGCUUAAAACCAACAAAAGAAAAAAUAAAGGAAAAAAGAAAACGGAAGGUUCUCACCAAUUUCAAGCGAUUAAUCAAAAUUUGAAAAGAUCAAGAGAGAGGUAGUUAGUACUUAGUAGGAAGGAGAGGCGUGGUCGGUUCGGGUCGGGCCGGGUCGAGAGAGUAACACUGAAAUUAAUUGAAUAAAUGAAAUUAAAGGACUAACACUGAAAUUAAAUAAAAAUUCUAUUUCUUUUCCAUUUUAUGCUAACUACACAAAAUAGCAAUUUUCAAUCGAUAUAUAACUAGAGAGCUACAUUAUUUCGAAAAAGAAUUACACAGGUAAAUUAUCGUGCUCUUCUAUAAUAUAACGUCUUAUGAUUUCAACUUCUAUAAUAUAACGUCUUAUAAUUUCAAUUCUCUUAUUGAAUUUCUCUCGUAGUUUACUGAUUAAACAAUAGAUUUCUUUCCUUGAAUUAUAUAUUACUUUAACGAACAAGGAGGCCCAUAAGAUUAAAAUAAUCCAACCAAAAAUUGGGACAAGGAGAAAGGCAAGUGCAACUAUGGCCGAUCCAACAGCAAAUAGGCCAACUUUGCUAACAAUUGAAUUGAAGGAGCUCCAAGCUUGAAAGAUAGUUCCAAAGCCAUAUGUGAAUAGACCAACAAGAAAGAUUGUGAAUAUAAAGUGUUUGUCUGUAUCAACUAAAGGCUUGAUUUGAAUGAGACCAAUUAAACUUGCUACGGUGAAGGCGAAAACCUUGUGUACUGCAUUUAAAUUUUCCCUGAAAAGAAAAAUGAAAUAAAAAAACUAUUAGAAGGCUUUAGCACAUUUCUAUUUAACUAUAUAUAUUUGUAAUUGAUACGGAUAAACAAAGUUGCAUAAAUUUUAUAGAUUUAGUAAUAAUUGCAAAAUGGAUAAAAAUUUUGGAAGAGUUUUGAAUAAUUUUUCAUGAAUUUUAAUAAAGAUUGAUAGCUUGAAAUGAGGAGAGAAGUGAAUCAAAUACUGCAAAACUUGAAGAUAAAAUAAAAAGUUUGCAACCCAAUAUUUAAUGAUACUUACCUUUCGCUUGGCAUUCUUUUAAAUUCUUCGCGCUUGUUAGAGAACGGAAGAGUAGGAAGAUAGGAGAGUAUGAGACUAGCUGCAAUGACUAGAGAGCGAGUAGUGGCAUAUUAUAUUGACUUUCUUUCACUCGACUAACAUUUUUGAGUAACAAUCGCUCGACUAACAUUUGUCAUUAUUGACAUUUGUUACUCUCGUUUGCGUAACAAUCGCUAGAGAGCGAGUAGUGGCAUAUUAUAUUGAGUAACAAUCGCUAGAGAGCGAGUACCAUUUGUCAUUAUUGACAUUUGUUCCUCUCGUUUGAGUAACACUCACUAGAGAGCGAGUAGUGGCAUAUUAUAUUGAGUAACAAUCGCUAGAGAGCGAGUACCAUUUGUCAUUAUUGACAUUUGUUCCUCUCGUUUGAGUAACAAUCGCUCGACUAACAUUUGUCAUUGUUGACAUUUGUCAUUAACUGUUGAUUUUUAUUAUAAUUUAAAAAAAUCAAUCACUUUUUUAGUUUUAGUAUAAAAACUUUAAAUGGUUUAUAUUUUAAAAUAAGGAAAACAGUUAAAUCAAUGAAAAUAGACUAUAUAUCCAAUGAAAUUUCCUGCAAUAUAAAAACUGAUAAAUUUGGAAUCACUGCUGUUACCCGAAUACUAGCCAGCUUGAACAUUUAAAAAAAAAAAAAAACAAAACAAAAGAAAAGAAAACCCGUAUAUAUAUUUUAUUAUGUGACUCUACAACAUGAUUUUGAAAAUUUGCAGCAGCACAACAACAGCAGCCAAGCCUUAGCCACAAACUAGUUGGGAAUUUGCACAAAUACACAAAAUCUUUUGUUUCCAUAUGGCUCUAUGCUAGAUAUAGAUAAUACUAAACUGAAUUCAAAAUGUCCUUUAGUAUCCUAAAGGGUUAAAAUCAAAUCUUAAAUGACAAGAAGAAAACGCCAAUUCAUUUUGUUUGGAAUGCAAAAAUCCAUUUAAGAUAUUGUGAGAGAAAAUAAAUGUUUGUUUACUAAUGCAGCCUAAAUUUCAUAGAGGUUGGAACAUCCAUUGCAAAGACCCAGCAAAUGCAAGCAGAUAAAUUCAUACGAACCAGCAAAUAGCAAUACAAGGAUAUCAGCAUCCAAAAUAAAAAAUUGCCACGUGUGAAAAUUGUGGCAUGAGAGGUUACUCACCAGUACUUAAUCAAGCCAUCCCAGCCGCAAGUUGCCACUUUGCUUUGCUCCAAUGGAUGCCACUCGCACCCAAUGCACACACCCUCAUGACACUUGUCCUGAAAACUUUACAACUCUUCCAGUCCCAAAACCAGCACUUACCCUCACCGUCUCCUGACAUAACAAAACGUCCAUCUGGUGAGAAAUUUACUUGGCAAGCAUAACCUGCCACAAUAUGCUCAGCAAACCGCUGGUGCACCUCUCCUAACUAUUGCAAUUUAGUUUCCUCUGAGAAACCUCAGGAGCAUUUGCAUAAAUUGAGGGUGUUAAUGAUACAGGUUAAAAAUAUAAUAUUAUAUGAUGGGUUAAAAGCACAUCAAACAAAUCAUUCUUGCCCAAACUAACACGAAACAAGUCAGCAACUGGUAGUCUGGUACCACAAGUAAACAUGCUAGCGUAAUAGACAAAGCAACUGCAUACAUCUAUCUUUCUGACUUGCAAUAUCAUGCAGUCAACGUUUACAACGUCAAUCAUGCAGUUACCCUAACAGUAGCACAAGAUAUUUCAUAUGGCCAAACAUAUUAUCAAAUAUCAAAUAAAACUGAGAAAGGAAAAUGUUUAUCUAACCUGUCAUUUACUCCUGCAAGCAUCACAUACUCGAACAAAAGAUCAAUGAAUAAGGAAACACAUGGACUUAAUUCCACAAAUUAUGUGUUUUUCUAUGUGAACAGGGAAUGCAUAACGACCACAAAACGAAUGAAAUCUUCACUUUCUAUUUAUGUUGUCGAUAGAUAGUGAAAAUAACAUUGAAUUAUUAGAUGCCUUAUUACUGGACUGAGCAAAGUCACUAACUGAGCCAAAUCUGAACUGAUUGGAAAAACUUUAAUAGAAAAUUUUCUAGAUCACACCAUAAAUACAACGUUUGUGAUGGAACCAACUUCGCUCGUCACAAGACGUUGUGCAAAUACAACCUGGUCUACAAUCUCUGCAGUAGUCAGAUGUCUCUUCAAACCCAUCCUAAAAAUUGGAUUAUGCAUCAAGAAGAUGUACCUUGUAGAGAGUAAGAAUAGCAAUAAUAGAGAUACAAAUAAGAAAGAUAUAAAGCUUACCUGCCAGUGCAGCAGAACUGACAAUUCAUGGCACAGCCCACUUGACUUGAAACACAAACUGUCGUCCUACCUCUAUCACAAGGUAUGACGACUGUUUCAAUUACCAGUUCAUCAUCCAACCUAAAUAAAAUCUGCAAGCUCCUGUGAGUUUCAAAACCAAUGAGAAGAUAAUGCAACUGCUAAAAGCAAUAUAUCAAACCAGAAUAAAGUGACUUCGAGACCAAAAAUACAACAGAUAAUGGUUUUGGCUACCUUCUUAGUUCCAUCAGAUGCAGAACGAAUAUUUUCCAAAUAUAUUGCCUUAUAUUCUGCGUGUUCACUCAACAUUUUCCUAAAAUCCUUAUUCAAACCUGAAUAAGGUUAUCAAAGACAAAUUCAUAAGGCUCAGCAUGUCUCUCUUGUUGGAAGAGAGAUUCAAUUUUGCACAUAGAUAGGGACAUCAAAGGGAGAUAAAAUCAUUUAGCUCACUGAAAAGGCUAUAAAACCAGACAAUAGAUAGCAUUUCAGAGACAAGGUGGUGUAAGAAUACCUUCUAGUUCAUCAACAUAAUGCGCCCAAAUAUUUUCCCCAUAAAGACGCUACCACAGCAUCAUAGCUUGACCAGGUCUGGAUCCAUGAGAUUGAGCCGUGGACCCAUUUCUGGCAUAGUGGAUUCCCACAAUUAUUACUUGGAAAACUUGAACAUAAAACUAUACAUAAAUUCUCAUGGUUGGAAUAUUAGAAUUCAUUUUGAAUUUCUAGUCUAGCUAGCUUGUACCACAGUUUAAAAUUAUAUACUUUUUUGAGUUUAGCAUAGGAAGAAAAAGAGAGUAGAAAAACACACUUCAAGCUCAGUGUAAUUCAUUCCCUUAAGAAGCACCUUUGAACCCUUGGUUAGAAUAGCAUUCAUGUCUCUANNNNNNNNNNNNNNNNNNNNNNNNNNNNNNNNNNNNNNNNNNNNNNNNNNNNNNNNNNNNNNNNNNNNNNNNNNNNNNNNNNNNNNNNNNCCAUAUCAACAGGAAGGUAGUGACGAUGAACAAGCGGCGGUAGAAACGGAACGACGCGCGGAAGGGAAACGAGAAGUGGGGUGGAGAUGGAGAUUGGGCGGUGGCGGUGAUGAAGAGAGUUGUUUUAGAGAGGAAAGAGAGAGAUGAGAUCGAUUAGGGUAAGGAAUUGAGAGCGAAGCAGAUGAGGAGGCCAUGGAAGGGUGAUUUACAAGAACCACUGACCGCACGCGCCCCAUCCACAUACAACCCAUCUCCAUUCUCCGAUUUCUCGUAGCCCGAAAGUAUAACACGUUCAUUUGAUGAAAAUAUAUCCAAGCUCUCUUACAUAAUACUUAUAUGAAAAUAACUUAUAUCCGAAAAUAUCUUAUUUCAAAAUACAUGCGAGCUGUAAGAAGUAAUAAAGAUUUUUUUUAUUUAUUCUUUAUAUAUAAUCAAUAAUUAUUAUUUUAAUUUAAUAAUUUUUUAGAAAAUUAAUAUUAAAUUAAAGAUAAUAUAGUCAAUUUAUUUAAUAAUUUAUUAUAAUUUAAACACAUUUAAUAAUUUUCUUAAGAAAUCUGAAAUUUAUGACAAGUAUUAUUGACCAGAGAUCAUAUGAAAUGGCUAAACUAGCAAGGUUCAAUUGGUUUUUUAGGUAUUGUUAUUGGUUCGGUUUGAACCAUAAUCAAAUUGUACUGUGCAUGAACUGAAAUCGAAUUCAAAAUUUUGAACUAGAACUGGAGUUCACCGACUGGUUCAAUCCAUGUCAAUACGUUAAAAAAUAAAACUGAAUUGGUAUCGUUGGUCCAAAAUUUUAAAUCAUAACUUGAGGUUCAAAGACUGGUUCCUAUCCAUGUCAAUGUUAAAAAAUAAACCUGAAUCGGAAUGGAAUUGACGAUUCCAGUCCGGUUAAACAUAAAUUUAUAAUCAUCUACUCAUAAAUAAAAUUUUCAUGAUAAAUAACGCAAAAAUGCAGAAUCCGGAUAAGGGGAUCGUGACUCUACAACAUGAUUUUGAAAUUUUCCAGCGGCACACCACCAGCAGCCAAGCCUUAGCCACAAACUAGUUGGGAAUUUGCACAAAUACACAAAAUCUUUUGUUUCCAUAUGGCUCUAUGCUAGAUAUAGAUAAUAAUAAACUGAGUUCAAAAUGUCCUUUAGUAUCCUAAAGGGUUAAAAUCAAAUCUUAAAUGACAAGAAGAAAACGCCAAUUCAUUUUGUUUGGAAUGCAAACAUCCAUUUAAGAUAUUGUGAGAGAAAAUAAAUGUUUGUUUACUAAUGCAGCCUGAAUUCCAUAGAGAUUGGAACAUCCAUUGCAAUGCAAGCAGACUAAUUCAUAUGAACCAGCAAAUAGCAAUACAAGGAUAUCAGCAUNNNNNNNNNNNNNNNNNNNNNNNNNNNNNNNNNNNNNNNNNNNNNNNNNNNNNNNNNNNNNNNNNNNNNNNNNNNNNNNNNNNNNNNNNNNNNNNNNNNNNNNNNNNNNNNNNNNNNNNNNNNNNNNNNNNNNNNNNNNNNNNNGAAAACCUUACAACUCUUCCAGUCCCAAAACCAGCAUUUACCCUCACCGUCUCCUGACAUAACAAGCCGUCCAUCUGGUGAGAAAUUUACUUGGCAAGCAUAACCUGCCACAAUAUGCCCAGCAAACCACUGGUGCACCUCUCCUAACUAUUGCAAUUUAGUUUCCUCUGAGAAACCUCAGGAGCAUUUGCAUAAAUUGAGGGUGUUAAUGAUACAGGUUAAAAAUAUAAUAUUAUAUGAUGGGUUAAAAGCACAUCAAACAAAUCAUUCUUGCCCAAACUAACACGAAACAAGUCAGCAACUGGUAGUCUGGUACCACAAGUAAACAUGCUAGCGUAAUAGACAAAGCAACUGCAUACAUCUAUCUUUCUGACUUGCAAUAUCAUGCAGUCAACGUUUACAACGUCAAUCAUGCAGUUACCCUAACAGUAGCACAAGAUAUUUCAUAUGGCCAAACAUAUUAUCAAAUAUCAAAUAAAACUGAGAAAGGAAAAUGUUUAUCUAACCUGUCAUUUACUCCUGCAAGCAUCACAUACUCGAACAAAACUUCGCAAUUCUUUAUGGAUUGGAGUUCCUUCCGAAGGGUGUCAAGAAGCAAGCCUAAAUUGUAUUUCCGGUUACUUGGCACGAUCCAGUUUCUUACAUGCAUGGUUUAUUAGUUAAAGAGAAAGUCAACAACCUGGAUGUGUUUCCCAAGUGAAUAAACAUACAGAUAUAAAUGAAAAUGCACCUCAUCAGCUGUCGCAUUCAGACUAACAGCUAAAGCACAAUUGGAUUCAUGAAGGAAACGUUUCAACGGGGGGACAAGCCCGCUUGUAGAAACAGUGACCUUGCGAGGACUAAAAUGAAGAUCCUGCUCAUGCACCAUAAUAUCUGCAGCUUUUAUGACGACUGUUUCAAUUACCAGUCCAUCAUCCAACCUAAAUAAAAUCUGCAAGCUCCUGUGAGUUUCAAAACCAAUGAGAAGAUAAUGCAACUGCUAAAAGCAAUAUAUCAAACCAGAAUAAAGUGACUUCGAGACCAAAAAUACAACAGAUAAUGGUUUUAGCUACCUUCUUAGUUCCAUCAGAUGCAGUACCAACAUCUUCCAAAGAUAUUGCCUCAAAUUCUGCGUGUUCACUCAACAUUUUCCUAAAAUCCUUAUUCAAACCUGAAUAAGGUUAUCAAACAAAUUCAUAAGGCUCAGCAUGUCUCUCUUGUUGGAAGAGAGAUUCAAUUUUGCUCAUAGAUAGGGACAUCAAAGGGAGAUAAAAUCAUUUAGCUCACUGAAAAGGCUAUAAAACCGGACAACAGAUAGCAUUUCAGAGACAAGGUGGUGUAAGAAUACCUUCUAGCUCAUCAACAUAAUGCGCCCAAAUAUUUUCCCCAUAAAGACGCUACCACAGCAUCAUAGAUUGACCAGGUCUGGAUCCAUGCUAUUGAACCCAGUUCUGGCAUAGUGGAUUCCCACAAUUAUUACUUGGAAAACUUGAACAUAAAAUUAUACAUAAAUUCUCAUGUUUGGAAUAUCAGAAUUCAUUUUGAAUUUCUAGCCUAGCUAGCUUGUACCACAGUUUAAAAUUAUAUACUUUUUUGAGUUUAACAUAGGAAGAAAAAGAGAGUAGAAAAACAUACUUCAAGCUCAGUGUAAUUCAUUCCCUUAAGAAGCACCUUUGAACCNNNNNNNNNNNNNNNNNNNNNNNNNNNNNNNNNNNNNNNNNNNNNNNNNNNNNNNNNNNNNNNNNNNNNNNNNNNNNNNNNNNNNNNNNNNNNNNNNNNNNNNNNNNNNNNNNNNNNNNNNNNNNNNNNNNNNNNNNNNNNNNNNNNNNNNNNNNNNNNNNNNNNNNNNNNNNNNNNNNNNNNNNNNNNNNNNNNNNNNNNNNNNNNNNNNNNNNNNNNNNNNNNNNNNNNNNNNNNNNNNNNNNNNNNNNNNNNNNNNNNNNNNNNNNNNNNNNNNNNNNNNNNNNNNNNNNNNNNNNNNNNNNNNNNNNNNNNNNNNNNNNNNNNNNNNNNGAUUUACAAGAACCACUGACCGCACGCGCCUCAUCCACAUACAACCCAUCUCCAUUCUCCGAUUUCUUGUAGCCCGAAAGUAUUACAUGUUCAUUUGAUGAAAAUAUAUAUUAACAUCAUCACAGCCGACAACAACUCAAGAUUUAAGUAAAGCGGAAAUUUUCAAUUUUUUAUGAUAAUUUCAGAAAAACAAAAGAAAAAUUCAUCAGAUUUAAUUAAUUUAACAAAAUUCAGGAUUCAAUCAUUAUUGCAAAACAGUGAACUGAUCAUUCAGAAUUUGAAAUAAUCCGUAGCACCUGUAUAGUAAUAGCAGAGCUUAAAACCAACAAAUGAAAAAAUAAGGGGAAAAAGAAAAAGGAAUGUUCUCACCAAUUUCAAGCGAUUAAUCAAAAUUUGAAGAGAUACGUUCCUUUUUUUUUUCUUGAAUUGACCAAUUUCAGGCGUUUUUCCUUUUUCAGAAGGGGGAGAGAUUGAGACGAAGAAGAGGAGAUCAAUAGAGAGGCAGUUAGUGCUUAAGAUGAAGGAGAGGCUCGGUCGGGUCGUGGAGAGACAGUGAGAUGUGGGCUUUACCAAAUAAAUGGACUCUGGAAGUUGGGAAUACAUACGGUCUUUAAGAUUAGGGUUUUUUUUUUUUUUUCAAAUGAUUAUAAAAAUAAUUGAAUAAAUGAAAUUAAAGGAUUAACACUGAAAUUAAAUAAUAUUUUUAUUUCAAUGGUAACUAUACAAAAUAGCACAUUUACAAUCGAUAUAUGCAGCUAAAGAGUUACAUUAUUUCAAAAAAGAAAUACAUAAGUUAAUUAUCGUGCUCUUCUAUAAUAUAACGUCUUAUGAUUUUAAUUAUCUUGUUGAAUCUCUCUCGUAGUUUGCUAAUUAAACCGUGGAUCUCUUUAAGUGAAUCAUAUAUUACUUUAGCAAACAAGGAGGCCCAUAAGAUUAAAAUAAUCCAAAAGUUGUAACAACCAUAAAGACAAGCGCAGCUACGGCUAAUCCAAGGGCAAAUAAGCCAACUUUGCUAGUAAUUGAAUUGAAGGAGUUCCGAGCUUGAAAGAUAGUUCCAAACCCAUAUGUGAGUAAAGCAACAAGAAAGAUUGGUAAUAUAACGCGUGUGUCUUUAUGAACCAUAGUCUUGAUUUGAAUGAGGCCAAUUAAACUUGCUAUGAUUAAGGUGAAAACAUUGUGUACUGCAUUUAAAUUUUCCCUGAAAAGAAAAAUGAAAUAAAAAAAACUAUUAGAAGACUUUAGCACAUUUCAAUUUAACUAUAUAUAUUUGUAAUUGAUAAGGAUAAACAAAGUUGCAUAAAUUUUAUAGACUUAGCAAUAAUUGGAAAAUGGAUAAAAAGUUUGGAAGAGUUUUGAAUAAUCUUUCAUGAAUUGUAACAAAAAUUGAUAGCUUGAAAUUAUAGAGAAGUGAGACAACUGUGCUCUGUCUAGCCAUGAAUCAAAUACUGAAAAACUCGAAGAUACAACAAAAAGUUUGACAACCCAAUAUUCAAUGAUAUACUAACCUUUCGUUUGCCAUUUUCUUUUAAAUUCUUUGUGCUUGUUAGAGAACGCAAGAAUAGGAAGAUAGAAGCUGCAAUGACUAGAGAGCAACUCUGCUAUUUUUCCCAAGAAUAGGAAGAUAGGAGAGAAGCUGCUUUUUAUUUUUUCCCAAGAAUAGCAAGAAUAGGAAGAUAGGAGAGAAGCAUAUGCUUGUGAGAGAAGCUGUUUUUUUAUAUGUCAUAUAAUCGCUUUUUAUUGUCGGUUGUUGUAGGUCAAUUCAUAUAAAAUAUUCUUUUCUUUUCCUCAUACUGCUUACUCAUAUUUCCUCCUUCACUGAUAUUUGCUUUUUUCCUCAAUUCUGCUUACUCUGCUUAAGCAUAUUUCAAUUUUCUAUUCAUAUUUCUCAAUUCUGCUUACUCUGCUUACUCUACUUACUCAUAUUUCCUCCUUUACGGAUAUUUGCUUUUUUCCUCAACUUUUUUCCUCAACUCUACUUACUUUACUGAUAUUUGCUUUUUGCCUCAAUUCUGCUUACUCUGCUUAAGCAUAUUUCAAUUUUCUUUUCAUAACUGAUAUUUGCUUUUUAUGAUUCCACAUAGGCAGGAACCUUUUUAUGAUUCCACAUAGGCAGGACCUUUUUAUGAUUCCACAUACAUGCCACAUAGGCAGGACCUUUUGACAUCUAAGAGGUGCCACAUAGGCAGGACCUUUUUACAUCUAAGAGGUGUACAUUGUGGUUCUAUUGCCCUGUUUUUGGUUCCAUUACCCUGAAUUCGUCUGACGUGUGGUGGUGUUUUUGUUUUUUUGGUACAUUGUGGUUCCAUACUUCCAUUACCCUGAAUUUCGUCUCACGUGUGGUGGUGUUUUAGUUUUUUUUGUACAUUGUGGCCCCCCAUUGCCCUGUUUGUUUUUUUGCGUCGUUGUCGGGUGAUAGCUUUUCUAGAUAAUAUUAUAUAAUAUUCUAGUCUAGUUAACAUUGUCGGGUGAUUUGCUUCUUCCAUUCAAUUUUUCCAGGCCCAACCUCAUUCAAUUUUUCCAUUUUGGUCUGAUGGGUCGUUGAUCCUUCGAUUCAAUUUUUCCAAGCCCAACCUCAUUACCUUGUUGUCAGAAUUUACAGAUACUAAUAGGUAAUAAAAAAAGAUUUCAAGACUUUUACACAUGCAACAUGGGUAGGGGUGGCCACAGUUCCGGAAUCGAAUCGAAAAGGUCCGGUUUCAGUUUCGAUUUGGAACCGUCCGGUUCCGGUUCCGGUCUGGUGAUAAAACCGACUGGUUCCGAUCGGUUUUUCGGCGAAUCGCAUAAUUUUAAAUUUUAAAUUUUGAAGACCGGUUUAAAAAAAAUAUAUUGGAACAUAAAAAAUUAAAAAAUACACCUAAAAAAUUAAAAAAAACUUCAAUUAAAUUUAUUUUUUUAAAGAUUUGAACAUAAUUAUUUUUUUAAAAAAAAUUUUUCAACUGAAUUUAUUUUUUGUUUAAAAAAGUUUGAAUAUAAUUUUUUUUAAAAAAAAAGGACGGCUUGAAAUUAAUUUUUUUUUAAAAAAAAAAAAUUAAGUUGUCUACAUAUCCUCUUGGGGUUUAGAGGAAUCAAAGCCCACAUAGUUCUUACUUACCUUAUACCAAUUUCACCCCUUUUACCUUAAUCGCUAUUUGCACCACCGGUUGAUGUUUCCGUUGAGGACCUAUCGUAUAAAUCAUAUAAAUCUUCAUUUUAUUUUGGAUUUUCUUUGGCUCUUAGUUCAACCUUUCUCCAAUCAUCCACGCAUGAUUGUGCUUCUAAUGAAUCGGGUGUCACACGAGAUCGUGUUUUAUCAAGUAUGUUACCUCCUUGACUAAAAACUUGUUCAACCGCAACAGUGGAGACCGGAGCUGCUAAAAUUUGUUUUGCAAGUAAAGAAAGAAUUGUAAAAGUAUUUGCGUGACGACUCAACCAAUCUAAAAUUGGAAAAUCUGCAUCUGCAUAAUCAUCACCAAACUCAAAAGAAGUUGUUAGAUAAUUAUCAAAUUCAGAAAAAGAACUGGAUUCCCUUUGUCUUUUUUGUCUUUGUAGUAAAACAUGUUCAGCAACACCAACACCACUUACCCUUUGUGUUGAAAAUUGUGGAAUAUUAGAUUGAGAAGAAGUAGAAGUAGAAGUAGAUGAACUAGAAACUUGAACAAAUUCAUUAUAUAAUUGCAUAAUAUUUUGUUUAACUUCAUGCAAUACUACAUUUAUAUUAACAUUAUCUUCUACAUCAAGAUUUAAUACAUCAUAAUAAAUAGUCAAAUAAUCACAUAAAACAUCCAUUCUAUAUCUAGGAUCAAAUNNNNNNNNNNNNNNNNNNNNNNNNNNNNNNNNNNNNNNNNNNNNNNNNNNNNNNNNNNNNNNNNNNNNNNNNNNNNNNNNNNNNNNNNNNNNNNNNNNNNNNNNNNNNNNNNNNNNNNNNNNNNNNNNNNNNNNNNNNNNNNNNNNNNNNNNNNNNNNNNNNNNNNNNNNNNNNNNNNNNNNNNNNNNNNNNNNNNNNNNNNNNNNNNNNNNNNNNNNNNNNNNNNNNNNNNNNNNNNNNNNNNNNNNNNNNNNNNNNNNNNNNNNNNNNNNNNNNNNNNNNNNNNNNNNNNNNNNNNNNNNNNNNNNNNNNNNNNNNNNNNNNNNNNNNNNNNNNNNNNNNNNNNNNNNNNNNNNNNNNNNNNNNNNNNNNNNNNNNNNNNNNNNNNNNNNNNNNNNNNNNNNNNNNNNNNNNNNNNNNNNNNNNNNNNNNNNNNNNNNNNNNNNNNNNNNNNNNNNNNNNNNNNNNNNNNNNNNNNNNNNNNNNNNNNNNNNNNNNNNNNNNNNNNNNNNNNNNNNNNNNNNNNNNNNNNNNNNNNNNNNNNNNNNNNNNNNNNNNNNNNNNNNNNNNNNNNNNNNNNNNNNNNNNNNNNNNNNNNNNNNNNNNNNNNNNNNNNNNNNNNNNNNNNNNNNNNNNNNNNNNNNNNNNNNNNNNNNNNNNNNNNNNNNNNNNNNNNNNNNNNNNNNNNNNNNNNNNNNNNNNNNNNNNNNNNNNNNNNNNNNNNNNNNNNNNNNNNNNNNNNNNNNNNNNNNNNNNNNNNNNNNNNNNNNNNNNNNNNNNNNNNNNNNNNNNNNNNNNNNNNNNNNNNNNNNNNNNNNNNNNNNNNNNNNNNNNNNNNNNNNNNNNNNNNNNNNNNNNNNNNNNNNNNNNNNNNNNNNNNNNNNNNNNNNNNNNNNNNNNNNNNNNNNNNNNNNNNNNNNNNNNNNNNNNNNNNNNNNNNNNNNNNNNNNNNNNNNNNNNNNNNNNNNNNNNNNNNNNNNNNNNNNNNNNNNNNNNNNNNNNNNNNNNNNNNNNNNNNNNNNNNNNNNNNNNNNNNNNNNNNNNNNNNNNNNNNNNNNNNNNNNNNNNNNNNNNNNNNNNNNNNNNNAUAAAUUUUCUCACCUUUGAAUUUUUUCGUGAAAUGAAUGGCGAAUAUGUCGGAACUUUGUCUUGCUCUUCCAACAAUUUGUGCUCGUUGCUCUUGCUCUUGCUCUUGCUCUUCCUCUUCUUGUAAUUGCUCAUUAAAUUCAGAUUCUUGAGUUGGAAUUUCCAAAUUUUCAUUUGGAUAUCCCUCAAAAUUAAAUUGGUUGGGAGUGAAAUCAUAGAUGUCGUUUGUAGGGAUAGAUGAAUAUUGUGUUUCUCCAAUCUUUCCCUUGCCCUUACCCGAAUUUGAGUUUUCUCCACUUGUCAUUAUAUGAUAAUAAGAUAUAAUUUGGAAACUUGAAUAAAAAAAAUUAGAGAGAAUAAGAACUUAAUACGAGAGAUUGUAAAGUAGAGAAGAAUAAUAUAGAGUAGAGUGUAGUAUAUUGUAGAGAGAGUAAGUAGAGUGUAGUAUAUUGUAGAGAGAGUUGAGAUUUUUUUGUAAUCAAUUUGUAAAUGAAAUGAGGUAUUUACAAUAAAUUCAAAAAAUCAUUUUUCCAAAAAUACCCUUGAAACUAGCCGUUAUGUAGCCGUUUAUGGCUGGGGGGGGGGGGGAUUAAAAGAAUUUACAAUAAAAAUUAAAAAAAAAAAAAAAAAACUGGUCUGACAAUUUAUAACAGCUAGAACCGCCGGUUCGAAUCGGUUUGAACCGGCGGUUCUAACCGGCCGGGGAAUCGACGGUUCCAAUCCGGUUCCGACUGGUUAUCUGGAACCGCCGGUUUCGGUUCCAGAAAUCUAGAAUCGGAACCGAACCGAAAAUCUCCAGUUCCGGUUCGAUCCGGUUCCGGUUCUCACCGGUUCCAAUUAAGGUUCGGGACCGGUUCGAACCGACGGUUCCGGUUUUUCCGGUUUCCGAAACCGUAAUAUGGCCACCCCUAAAUAUGGGACAAUAUUAUUCUUUGGAAAAAAAAAAAAAAGCUAUUAUUGCUGUCUUCCGAUUGCCUUUCCAAUCCUAUUCCUACUGUUGUUUCUCUCACAUCUGCCUUAAUUAUUCAAUAAAUAAAUUUUCAUUAUUACUUUUUUCAGUUCAUUAAUAUUGGCAAUUGGUAAAAAGGGAUGGAUUAUGAUAUCAUAUUAAAAAAAAUAAAAGCUGAAUAUGCAAACUUAGGUAUCAAAAGCUAAAAGUACUAAUAAUUAAUUAUAAGAAAGUGAUGUAAGGAUAAACAAAAUUAAAUAUUUUUUUUAGCAAACUGUUUUUAACAUCCUCAAAUAUAAAUUCACCUCUAAUAUGAUUUGUUUUUACAUUUUAUUUUUACGUAUUGCACCUACAUAUUUUAAAUUAUAUAUUGUGGCCCCCAGUUUUUAUUAUUUUAAAUUAUAUAUUUCAUUCUCAUUAACCCUUUUUCUGUCAAAAUUUUAAAAUUAUUUAUUGCCUGGUCAAUUGGUCAAUUUUAUGUGUAACAGUUAAAAUUAUAAAAUUCAUCUAUUUAUGUAGUCACUUUUCUCAAGAUUUUAAAUAAUAUUUACUUUGUCAUUUUUCAAUUCUAAAAAUUGUUACAGUUUAAUAUAAAAUUUUUGUUAAGAGUUGAUUGCUAAAUAUACAACAUGCAGGUUUCCUUUCCUUUUUUUUUAUUAAAUAUAUUUUUAUUUUAUGGCUUUCAAUGAAGAAAUAAUGUCAAAAAAUGCUAAAUUUAUAAAAUUAAAUCGAUUAAAAUACUUAUUAAAUAGUUCAAAUGUAAAAUUUAUUGUUUUAAAAAUUAUAUUAACUACAUAUUAAAUUAAUAUUUUGUAUAUAAAAAUAUUAAAUUAAUAUUUUGCAUAUAAAAAUAAAAAAAUUUAAAAUUUAUUAUUACCGUAACGAGAUGUAAGAUCAAUUUAAAUUUAAAAUAUUAAAUUUAUUGUUUUCGAAUUUUUUUAUUGCUCAACUCACUUGCUGCUCUCUUUCCUUCUGUGCCUUCGGCCUGGAUUGACAAGAAUGUUAUGAAUACGUACUUCAAAAGCGAUUCAGGCAAUUUACCCAUAUACAUAAAUUCAACGUUUAGCUUUAUUACUUAAAUUUUACAGUGCUUUUAAUUUUUAUUUAAUUCAUCCAAUAUUUUAAUUUAUAAAAUUAUUUUAUUAAAUGUCUCAAUUUACAAAAUAAAUCAAUUAAACACCUAUGAAAUAAUUAAAAUUUAUGAAAAUUAUUAUUCAAAAAAUUUUAAACACUAUUAUUGUUACUGUGAAAAAGUAUUUAAUAUUAUCAAAAUUUAUAAAUUCAAAUAUACGAUAAAUCAUAAAAAAAUUUAAGAUAGCAAGGAUUAAAAUUGAAAAAUUAGAGAAUAAAUUUAUAUAUUCAACGCUUUUUCAAGAUUUUAAAUAAUAUUUUCUUCGCAUUUUUCAAUUUUAAAAAUUAUUACGGUAUCAUAUAAAUAUUUUUUGUUAAGAGCUAAAAUAAUGUAAGAAGAAAUAAAGUAAGAAAAUGCUAAGCUGAAAUAUUUUUAUAUUUUAUGGCUUUCAAAGAAGAAAUAAUGUAAGAAAAUGCUAAACUGAAUACGGCCAAAAAAAUAAUCAAACAAAAUCAACUUAAAAAAAAAAAAAGUAAAAAGAAAAUAAAUAAAAGAUAUGAAAAGGAAGAAAAGGAUGGUGUUGUAGUUAAACAAAAAAUUAAGGGCUAAUGGGAAAAUCACUGUUGUGGCGACACUGAUUUCCCCACGUGGGUUAUAUCCCUAUUACUUUGCUCCACGUGUGAUUGUUUAUAUCGCAGGUUGUGAUAGACAAGAACUUCUGUUUCCAUAAUUUGUGGAAAAUGUCGCGAAUACGUAUUUCAAACCCGAAGCAUAUUCAAUUUGCCCAUAUUUUACCCUAUUAAGCGUCUUUCAUAUCUCUGGGGUUUAUUUAGGUUCAAUACCUAAAUGUAUCCUUUAUUUUUAUUACUUUAUUACUUUAAUAGUUCAAUACCUAUUAAAUAAUUAAUAAUUAUAAAAAUUAUUAUUUCAAAAUUUAUGCUAAAUUACAUAUCAAAUUAAUAUUUUGUAGAUAAGAUUCAAAAACUUUAAAAACUAUUAUUAUUAGUGUGAAAAUACGUGUAAUAGUUAAAAUUGCAAAAUUCAGUUUUUUCUCCUUUUUUGAUUUGUGCUCUUAGACAGACUUGCUCCACCUUCCAAAUGUACUUCCCCCAUGGUUGAUUUUUCAUUAUAGGAUUCAAUUUUUUUUUUCAUUAAGCAACUACAUCCAGUUUACUUUUUGUUUCUUUGUAGGAGGCUGGAAUAGGAACAAGUAUUGACUCUUUUUAUGAGUAUCUCUUAAAGGUAUGUGAUAACGGUUUCACUGUGUAGGAAGAUAUUUCCUGGGUUAACAUAGUAGCUCAAAAUAUUUUUCAGAAGUAAAUACAUAAUCAUGCUGAUACACAUAAUUCAAAUAAGCUUUUAUGAAAACUGGUUUGAUUGUCUGCAUGAGUCCUGCUCUUCCAUUCUGCCGUGUCUCAUUCCAUCAAUGGCUAGAGCACAUAAAUACAUAAAUACUUGCAGAAGAUCAGAUCAUAUAGGAUGGUUUUGAACAAUCAUUUACAGCUAAAAUAGUGGUAGGAUAUUCACGAUAAACAAAUGGGAGAAUCUUAGAUGAUGAAUAGUAAUUUAAUUUUGAGAAGCUUUUAUUGAAAAUUUCUUAUAUUUUCAGGCUUAUUUGUUAUUUGGUGAUGAGGAGUAUUUGUUCAUUUUCCAAGAAGCUUAUGCUGCUGCUAUGCACUAUCUUUUUAACGAUCCUUGGUAAAAGCUUGUGGCUAUCAUGCCCCUCUGCAUAAAUAUGUGUUUUGUGCAAAUGUUUGUAGCUCUAUAGAAUGGUCUAAUUCACAAUAUAUACUUUACUCCAUGGUAUUUAAAUCCUUCAAAUUUGAACAUUUAACUUUACAUGUCUUUUUAGGUAUGUAGAGGUAAAUAUGGAUUCUGCUGCUAUCGUCUGGCCAUUAUUUAAUAGUCUGCAGGCAUUUUGGCCAGGCCUUCAGGUUUUUGCUUUUUCUAUAUUCUGGCAUGUGAACCAUAAUAGUCGACUGUUAUAUUUAUGUUGAUUGGAAUUGCAUUUAUUUCUAAGGUUUUAGCAGGAGACAUUGAUCCUGCCAUUCGAACACAUGCUGCCUUCUUUAGCGUCUGGAAAAGAUACGGUUUCACUCCAGAAGGUUUUAAUCUUGCUACACUAAGUGUUCAGGUACCCCAAUCAUUAUUGGAAGCACAUGAAAGAUUUAAUAAGUAUUCCCAAUUUGAAUCACAUUUUAUAAGAUACUAUGGUAUCUUAGUUAUAUAGUAUGAGUUAGCAAGUUACUUUCAAAAAAAGAAUAGACAUCUUAUUUUGAUUUAUAGAAUGGGCAGAAGAGGUAUCCACUCCGUCCAGAGUUAAUAGAAAGCACAUAUUGGCUUUACAAAGCUACCAGAGAUCCCAGGUCAACAUAUGCUCUAAUUUCAUACUUCCUGAUGUAGCCAAGCAAAUGCAGUUUUGGGAACCUUUUUUUUAUUAAUUUCUUUUCUUGUAUCACAACUAUUUAGGAACUUUAUUUGGAGUUUUCUACAUAGGUAUAUAAGAUCCAGUAAAGACCAUAUCAUUAAAAUGAUAAAAUUAUGAACGGGUGUAAGGUCGAUGCACAAAGGAUGUUAGGCCCAAGUGAAAAAUUACAAGGACAACUAAAUAGUUGGUGCAUAAAGCACUUCAUUUUUGAUAGUGAAGAACUAUGAUGUUUCUUUUGGAUCAACAAUACCAUUAGCAUAUCCAUCUUGCUGGAUUCUGACUGUUAACUUCUGCUACAUUUACCUCUCCUCUGGGAGAGAAAUGUCAAUUUCAAGGAGAUAAUUUGGGGCCCUAGAAAUAUUUAAGGUGGGAAGUUGAGAAACUUUUCUCUUCGCAUGAGCUGCUUUUGAAAAUAAUUAACUAUACAAACAUUUUCUUUCUUUGGUUCAACCUUCCUACUUUAAUCAAUAUUGGAACUUUUGGGCUUUGCCAUAUAAAUGGACUCUGGAAGUUGGGAAUACAUACGGCCUUUAUGAUUAGGGUUUUUUUUUUUUUUUUCAAAUGAUUUUAAAAAUAAUUGAAAAAAAGAAAUUAAAGGACUAACACUGAAAUUAAAUAAAAAUUCUAUUUCUUUUCCAUUUUAUGGUAACUACACAAAAUAAUACAUUGUCAGUCGAUAUAUAGCUAAAGAGCUACAUUAUUUCAAAAAAGAAUUACACAGGUGAAUCAUCGUCAUCUUCUGCAACACGACGUCUUAUGAUUUCAAUUAUCUUGUUGAAUUUCUCUCCUAAUUUGCUGAUUAAACUGUAAAUCUUAUUCCUUGAAUUAUAUAUUACUUUAGUUAACAAGGAGGCCCAUAAGAUUAAAAUGAUCCAACCCAAAAUUGGGAGAACCAUAAGCACAAGUGUAACUACGGCCAAUCCAAGCGCAAAUAAGCCAACUUUGCUAGUAAUUGAAUUGAAGGAGUUCCAAGCUUGAAAGAUAGUUCCGAACCCAUAUGUGAGUAGAGCAACAAGAAAGAUUGGCAAUAUAAUGUGUGUGUCUGUAUCACCUAAAGGCUUGAGUUGAAUGAGGCCAAUUAAACUUGCUAUGAUCAAGGUGAAAACAUUAUGUACUGCAUUUAAAUUUUCCCUGAAAAGAAAAAUGAAAUAAAAAAACUAUUAGAAGGCUUUAGCACAUUUCAAUUUAACUAUAUAUAUAUUUGUAAUUGAUAAGGAUAAACAAAGUUGCAUAAAUUUUAUAGACUUAGCAAUAAUUGGAAAAUGGAUAAAAAUUUUGGAAGAGUUUUGAAUAAUCUUUCAUGAAUUGAAUAAAGAUUGAUGGCUUGAAAUGAUAGAGAAGUUAAACAAGUGUCCAGCCAUGAACACUGAAAAACUUGAAGAUACAAUAAAAAGUUUGCAACCCAAUAUUUAAUGAUACUUACAUUUUCUUUUAAAUUCAGAGGAGCUUGUUAGAGGAAGAUAGCAAUAUUAAAAAGUUUGCAACCCAAUAGGAAGAUAGAAGAGGAACUGUUGCUAGGAUUUUUUUUUUUUGAAGGUAAAAUGAGAAAUAUUUAUUACGAAAGCAAGAAAUCAAGUAGAAUAGGAGGUGGUACAGAAUUCCAAACCCCCAAGCCUGCUUCGGAAUGUGUUCCAACUGUCAACAUAUGUGCAGCAACAUUCGCAGACCUAUAAACAAAAUUACAUUGUGCGACUGGUAUCUCAGACAAAAGAGAUCUACAGUCCUGAAUUAUCCUGAAUUACAUUGUGUUCCAACUGUUGCUAGGAUAUAAAUACUAGGAGCUUCUUUGCACCCAUUUGCAUUUGUGCAAACGCUUAUUUGCACUACCACUUUUGCUCACUCGCUUAUUAGGGUAAGGAAUUGAGAGCGAAGCAGGGAAGAGGCCAUGGAAGGGUGAUUUACAAGAACCACUGACCGCACGCGCCUCAUCCACAUACAACCCAUCUCCAUUCUCCGAUUUCUCGUAACCCGAAAGUAUUACAUGUUCAUUUGAUGAAAAUAUAUAUUAACAUCGUCACAGCGACAAGAACUCAAGAUUUAAGUAAAGCGGAAAUUGUCAAUUUUUUAUGAUAAUUUCAGAAAAAUAAAAGAAAAAUUCAUCAGAUUUAAUUAAUUUAACUAAAUUCAGGAUUCAAUCAUUAUUGCAAGAAAGUGAACUGAUCAUUCAGAAUUUGAAAUAAUUCGUGGCACCUGUAUAGUAAUAGCAGAGCUUAAAACCAACAAAUGAAAAAAUAAAGGGAAAAAGAAAAAGGAAUGUUCUCACCAAUUUCAAGCGAUUAAUCAAAAUUUGAAGAGAUAGGUUCCUUUUUUUUUUUUCUUGAAUUGACCAAUUUCAGGCGUUUUUUCCUUUUUCAGAAGGGAGAGAAAUUGAGACGAAGAAGAAGAGAUCAAUAGAGAGGUAGUUAGUACUUAAUAUGAAGGAGAGGCGUGGUCGGGUCACGGAGAGAUAGUGAGAUGCGGGCGUUACCAUAUAAAUGGACUCUGGAAGUUGGGAAUACAUAUGGUCUUUAAGAUUAGGGAUUUUUUUUUCUUUUUUGUUUAUUUUUUCAAAUGAUUAUAAAAAUAAUUGAAUAAAUGAAAUUAAAGGAAUAACACUGAAAUUAAAUAAUAUUUUUAUUUUAAUGGUAACUAUACAAAAUAGCACAUUUACAAUCGAUAUGUAGCUAAAGAGCUACAUUAUCUCAAAAAAGAAUCACACAGGUAAAAUAUUGUGCUCUUCUGUAACACGACGUCUUAUGAUUUCAAUUAUGUUGUUAAAUCUCUCUCGUAGCCUGCUAAUUAAAUGGUAAAUCUCUUCAAGCGAAUCAUUUAUUACUUUUGCGCAUAAGGAGGCCCAUAAGAUUAAAAUAAUCCAACCAAAAAUUGGGACAAGGAGAAAGACAAGUGCAACUAUGGCCGAUCCAACAGCAAACAGGCCAACUUUGCUAACAAUUGAAUUGAAGGAGCUCCAAGCUUGAAAGAUAGUUCCAAACCCAUACGUGAACAGACCAACAAGAAAGAUUGUGAAUACAAAGUGUUUGUCUGUAUCAACUAAAGGCUUGAUUUGAAUGAGGGCAAUUAAACUUGCUACGGUGAAGGCGAAAACCUUGUGUACUGCAUUUAAAUUUUCCCUGAAAAGAAAAAUGAAAUAAAAAACUAUUAGAAGGCUUUAGCACAUUUCUCUUUAACUAUAUAUAUUUGUAAUUGAUACGGACAAACAAAGUUGCAUAAAUUUUAUAGACUUAGUAAUAAUUGCAAAAUGGAUAAAAAUUUUGGAAGAGUUUUGAAUAAUUUUUCAUGAAUUUUAAUAAAGAUUGAUAGCUUGAAAUGAGGAGAGAAGUGAAUAAAAUGCUGAAAAACUUGAAGAUACAAUAAAAAGUUUGCAACCCAAUAUUUAAUGAUGCUUACCUUUCGCUUGGCAUUCUUUUAAAUUCUUCGUGCUUGUUAGAGUAGAAGAGUAGCUGCAAUGACUAGAGAGCGAGUAGUGGCAUAUUAUAUUGACUUUCAUUCACUNNNNNNNNNNNNNNNNNNNNNNNNNNNNNNNNNNNNNNNNNNCUCGACUAACAUUUGUCAUUAUUGACAUUCGUUCCUCUCGUUUGAGUAACAAUCGCUAGAGCGCGAGUAAAAUCGCUCGACUAACAUUUGUCAUUGUUGACAUUUGUUCCUCUCGUUUGAGUAACAAUCGCUCGACUAACAUUUGUCAUUGUUGACAUUUGUUCCUCUCGUCGCGAGUAAAAUCGCUCGACUAACAUUUGUCAUUGUUGACAUUUGUUCCUCUCGUUUGAGUAACAAUCGCUAGAGAGCGAGUAGUGGCAUAUUUAUAUUGAGUAACAAUCGCUAGAGAGCGAGUAACGAUCGCCAGAGAGCGAGUAACAUUUGUCAUUAUUGACAUUUGUUCCUCUCGUUUGAGUAACAAUCGCUAGAGAGCGAGUAGUGGCAUAUUUAUAUUGAGUAACAAUCGCUAGAGAGCGAGUAGUGGCAUAUUUAUAUUGAGUAACAAUCGCUAGAGAGCGAGUAGUGGCAUAUUAUAUUGACUUUCAUUCACUGUUCCUCUCGUUUGAGUAACAAUCGCUCGACUAACAUUUGUCAUUAACUGUUGAUUUUUAUUAUAAUUUAAAAAAAUCAAUCACUUUUUUAAUUUUAGUAUAAAAACUUUAAAUGGUUUAUAUUUUAAAAUAAGGAAAAGAGUUAAAUCAAUGAAAAUAGACUAUAUAUCCAAUGAAAUUUCCUGUAAUAUAAAAACUGAUAAAUUUGGAAUCACUGCUGUUACCCGAAUACUACCCAGCUUGAACAUUUAAAAAAAAAAAAAAAAANNNNNNNNNNAGAAAAGAAAACCCGUAUAUAUAUUUUAUUAUGUGACUCUACAACAUGAUUUUGAAAAUUUGCAGCAGCACAACAACAGCAGCCAAGCCUUAGCCACAAACUAGUUGGGAAUUUGCACAAAUACACAAAAUCUUUUGUUUCCUUAUGGCUCUAUGCUAGAUAUAGAUAAUACUAAACUGAAUUCAAAAUGUCCUUUAGUAUCCUAAAGGGUUAAAAUCAAUCUUAAAUGACAAGAAGAAAACGCCAAUUCAUUUUGUUUGGAAUGCAAAAAUCCAAUUAAGAUAUUGUCAGAGAGAAUAAAUGUUUGUUUACUAAUGCAGCCUAAAUUUCAUAGAGAUUGGAACAUCCAUUGCAAAGACCCAGCAAAUGCAAGCAGAUAAAUUCAUAUGAACCAGCAAAUAGCAAUACAAGGAUAUCAGCAUUCAAAAUAAAAAAUUGCCACGUGUGAAAAUUGUGGCAUGAGAGGUUACUCACCAGUACUUAAUCAAGCCAUCCCAGCCGCAAGUUGCCACUUUGCUUUGCUCCAAUGGAUGCCACUCGCACCCAAUGCACACACCCUCAUGACACUUGUCCUGAAAACUUUACAACUCUUCCAGUCCCAAAACCAGCAUUUAGCCUCACCGUCUCCUGACAUAACAAACCGUUCAUCUGGUGAGAAAUUUACCUGGCAAGCAUAACCUGCCACAAUAUGCUCAGCAAACCGCUGGUGCACCUCUCCUAACUAUUGCAAUUUAGUUUCCUCUGAGAAACCUCAGGAGCAUUUGCUGGUGCACCAUAAUAUCUGCAGCUUUUAUGACAUUUUCAAUGUUCUGAAGUGGUUCUCACAUUCCCUGCAAAUACAUAUUUCAAAGCGAAUUAUUAGAAAUUAUUGGGCUAACUAAAAAUCUAUUUUCUCUCACUUAAACCAAGAUCUUUGAAAAAUAGGGAUUAAUACUUCAUGGAUGUAAUAACUCUCCUUCAAACAUCUAAUAGAGCUAGACUAGAGACACUUCAGCAAAAAAAAAUCCAUUACAAUAGCUGCAGCAAAACGAAUACAGAAACAUACAAGGGUUAGAAGGGUGUAAAUGCCCAUAGGUAGUGGAUAUGCAAUCUAGGAAUAGUAUUGUUGAAUGGUUGGGCAAGUAUUCCGAUCAAUGAAUAAGGAAACACGUGGACUUAAUUCCACAAAUUAUGUGUUUUUCUAUGUGACCAGGGAAUGCAUAACGACGACAAAAUGAAUGAAAUCUUCACUUUCUAUUUAUGUUGUCGAUAGAUAGUGAAAAUAACAUUGAAUUAUUAGAUGCCUUAGUGCUGGACUGAGCAAAGUCACUAACUGAGCCAAAUCUGAACUGAUUGGAAAAACUUCUGUUAAUAGAAAAUUUUCUAGAUCACAGACUUACCACAAAUACAACAUUUGUGAUGGAGCCAACUUCGCUCGUCACAAGACGUUGUGCAAAUACAACCUGGUCUACAAUCUCUGCAGUAGUCAGAUGUCUCUUCAAACCCAUCCUAAAAAUUGGAUUAUGCAUCAAGAAGAUGUACCUUGUAGAAAGUAACAAUAGCAAUAAUACAGAUACAAAUAAGAAAGAUAUAAAGCUUACAUGCCAGUGUAGGAGAACUGACAAUUCAUGGCACAGCCCACUUGACUUGAAACACAAACUGUCGUCCUACCUCUAUCAGAAGGUAUGACGACUGUUUCAAUUAACAGUUCAUCAUCCAACCUAAAUAAAAUCUGCAAGCUCCUGUGAGUUUCAAAACCAAUGAGAAGAUAAUGCAACUGCUAAAAGCAAUAUAUCGGACCAGAAUAAAGUGACUUCGAGACCAAAAAUACAACAAAUAAUGGUUUUGGCUACCUUCUUAGCUCCAUCAGAUGCAGUACGAACAUUUUCCAAAUAUAUUGCCUUAUAUUCUGCGUGUUCACUCAACAUUUUCCUAAAAUCCUUAUUCAAACCUGAAUAAGGUUAUCAAAGACAAAUUCAUAAGGCUCAGCAUGUCUCUCUUGUUGGAAGAGAGAUUCAAUUUUGCACAUAGAUAGGGACAUCAAAGGGAGAUAAAAUCAUUUAGCUCACUGAAAAGGCUAUAAAAUCAGACAAUAGAUAGCAUUUCAGAGACAAGGUGGUGUAAGAAUACCUUCUAGUUCAUCAACAUAAUGCGCCCAAAUAUCUUCCCCAUAAAGACGCUUAGCAUCAUAGCUUGGCCAGGUCUGAAUCCAUGAGAUUGAACCCAUUUCUGGCAUAGUGGAUUCCCACAAUUAUUACUUGGAAAACUUUAACAUAAAAUUAUACAUAAAUUCUCAUGUUUGGAAUAUUAGAAUUCAUUUUGAAUUUCUAGUCUAGCUAGCUUGUACCACAGUUUAAAAUUAAAUACUUUUUUGAGUUUAGCAUAGGAAGAAAAAGAGAGUAGAAAAACAGACUUCAAGCUCAGUGUAAUUCAUUCCCUUAAGAAGCACCUUUGAACCCUUGGUUAGAAUAGCAUUCAUGUCUCUACUUCCUACACAAAUAAACAGCCACAAAACAAAUAAAUAAACAAAAUGGGAGCUCCAAAAACAACAUAUGUUACUAGGAAACGAUUUAUCUGCUUACCCAUAUCAACAGGAAGUAGUGACGAUGAACAAGCGGCGGUAGAAACGGAACGAGGAGAUGGAGAUUGGGCGGUGGCGGUGAUGAAGAGAGUUCUUUUAGAGAGGAAAGAGAGAGAUGAGAUCGAUUAGGGUAAGUAAUUGAGAGCGAAGCGGAUGAGGAGGCCAUUGAAGGGUGAUUUACAAGAACCACUGACCGCACGCGCCCCAUCCACAUACAACCCAUCUCCAUUCUCCGAUUUCUCGUAGCCCGAAAGUAUAACAUGUUCAUUUGAUGAAAAUAUAUACAAGCUCUCUUACAUAAUACUUAUAUGAAAAUAACUUAUAUCCGAAAAUAUCUUAUUUCAAAAUACAUAUGAGUCGUAAGAAGUAAUAAAUAUUUUUUUAUUUAUUCUUUAUAUAUAAUCAAUAAUUAUUAUUUUAAUUUAAUAAUUUUUUAUAAAAUUAAUAUUAAAUUAAAAAUAAUAUAGUCAAUUUAUUUAAUAAUUUAUUAUAAUUUAGACACAUUUCAUAAUUUUCUUAAGAAAUAUGAAAUUUAUGACAAGUAUUAUUGACCAGAAAUUGUAUGAAAUAGUUAAACUAACAAGGUUCAAUUGGUUUUCUGGGUACAGUUAUUGGUUCGGUUUGAACCAUAAUCAAAUUGUACUGUGCAUGAACUAAAACCGAAUUGCAUAGUUGAUUCAAAAUUUUGAACUAGAACUGGGGUUCACCGACUGGUUCAAUCCAUGUCAAUACGUUAAAAAAUAAACCUGAAUUGGUAUCGUUGGUCCAAAAUUUUAAAUCAUAAUUGGAUGUUCAAAGACUAGUUCCAAUCCAUGUCAAUGUUAAAAAAUAAACCUGAAUCGGAAUGGAAUUGACGAUUCCAGUCCGGUUAAACAGAAAUUUAUAAUCAUCUACUCAUAAAUAAAAUUUUCAUGAUACACUUGACUUAAAAAGUCUAAAAAAGUAAAAUUAGCAACAAAAAAAAAAAAAAGUUAAAUACUAAUUCAAAUUUAUUCUGCAUGAAAGUUUAACAGUGUUUUUUCCUUCUAAAUUUUUUUCUUAGUCCAAAAUUACAUUAUUUAAAAUAUUUUUUAAAAUUUAUCUAACAAAUUAUUUAAUUAAUAACAUUUAGAUAAAAUAAAAUAAAAUAAAAUUUUGAUUUAUUUGAUUAUUUCAUGUUUAUUUGUAAAGCUAAUGAAUUCUAUUUUUUAUACGAAUAUAAGUACUCUACCAGUUGUUUAAAAUAAAAUUUACAAAUAUUUGUUCAAAUUCACAUUAAUUUUUUCCUUAAAAUGACGUAAUCCUAGAAAUGAAUGUCUAUUAUUUUUUUUCCUUGAAGAAAAAUAAUAUGUAUAUCAUUGGAAACCAUGACUGGAGCCGAGACUCCAGAUCAAUGGUUCAAGAGCGGUUUAAGUUCAAAAUUUUAAAAAUCGUAAAAGAUCUUUUAACUAUAAGAGUUCUGUGCAUUGGACUAGGAGAAUUCCAACCCAUCUCGUCUCAAAAAAUGGAUUUUUUUUCUUUUUUUUUAUAAACUUCAAAUUAUGUUUAUGAAAAUAACUUUGAUCCUUCCUUGUUAAUAUAAUAUGGAAAAAAUAAUAUGAAUUUUCAAAAUAUAAAAUGGACAACUAAUUAAACAUAUUUUUCAAUAUAAAAUUUUCCUUUAUUAUUCUAUUAAAUGUGUUAAGUACAUGUCUUUGAAUAGAUUGAUAUAAUAAGUUGAUAUAUUGGUCCGAUGUUCUAAAAUUAUAACAAAAUCCUUCAAUUAAGCUAUAGGUGCCCUAGUGGCUAUGGAAUUUUGAGGUAUCCAAAUGGACGAUGGCAAACGUUUGGAAGAUAAUUUCUCCAAAUUCAAAGUUACUUAUCUUCAACGACCAAAAUCCGAAGACAAGUUGCAUAGCAUCAAGGAUUCUCCUUUCUCCUUUGGUCUGCCUAGAUGACCAUUUUUCUUUCUCCUUCAAGCGUACAAUCUGUCCCCACAUUUGUUUCUGAAGAUUGUUUCUACAUCAAGAUGGUCCUUUCUCCUUACCAAGCAUAGACGAUGAAUCCAACUCUCAUGGCCUGUCUUCAUUUUCGACGAAAGAAAAAAUAAUUAAACAAAAGAACUGAUAUAUGUUUAACCAGAAAGGAAGAACUAAAAGAUGAAGAUUCUCAAACCACGAUUUAAUCAAGUGUAAAAAACCAUGGAGGCAAUGUUCAAGAAUUAAUCACCUAGGAUUAAACCUUUCAACCACAUUUACUAACCAUGGAGCGUUGACUAGAAACAUGAAUUAAUCUGGAAAAAGUGGGAUUCAAAUCACUUGAUUGUAUAAAAGGAGCACCAAAAUCUAAAACCAGUAUUCAAAAGUUAAAGAAAGCUAAACUGAUUAACUCUUUACAAAACAAUUUUUUUUUAAACAGAACCAAUCAAAUAUCAACAACUCAUUUCUCAUACAGAUGAAAUUCAUUCAACAUAAUAAAAAACUGAAAACAGAAUCAUAAAAUUAUGAAUAUUUUUUAGAGGCUCUGAUUGUGCAUUUGUCAAACAAAUGGGGUAAUAAAAAAAAAAAAAAAAAACUAUGGUAGCAAUCACAGAAGAUAGUAACAGAAACAGAAAUGGAAGUUUCUAAAGGAUGAUCAGUUUCACAGUAGCAAAGCACAUAUUAACAAAACCAAGAUUAAUACCAAUCCAACAUGGAAUUUGAAACAUGGAAAUAAAAUAAAAAGAAGCUGCCCCACCACAGUUUUUGUCCCUUCAAAAUGCUUAAUUUAUAUUUAACAUCGUCACAGCCGACAAUAACUCAAUAUUUAAGUAAAGCUGAAAUUUUCAAUUUUUUAUGAUAAUUUCAGAAAAAAAAAAAAUCAUCAGAUUUAAUUAAUUUAAUCUUUUUUUAAUCAAAUUCAGGAUUCAAUCAUUUACGGUAACUAUACAAAAUAGCACAUUUUCAAUCGAUAUGUAACUAGAGAGCUACAUUAUUUUAAAAACGAAUUACAUAGAUAAAUCAUCGUGAUCUUCUAUGACAUAACGUCUUAUGAUUUCAAUGAUUUUGUUGAAUGUCUAUUGUAGUUUGCUAAUUAAACGGUAGAUCUAUUGUUGUGAAUUAUAUAUUACUUUCGCGAACAAGAAGGCUCAUAAGAUUAAAAUAAUCCAACCAAAAAUUAAUAAGGAUAAACAAAGUUGCAUAAAUCUUAUAAACUUAGCAAUAAUUGCAAAAUGGGUAAAAAGUUUGGAAGAGGUUUGAAUAAUCUUUCAUGAAUUGUAAUAAAGAUUGAUAGCUUGAAAUGAUACAGAAGUUAAACAAGUGUGCUCGGUCUUGCCAUGAAUGAAAUACUGAAAAACUUUAUUCCAUUGACUUUAUUCCACACACGAUGCUAUUGUGUUGGUCGGGCGAAUUUUUUGUUUUUGUUCUUAGUUUUAAAGAUGAAAAAUCACGAUGCCUAUAUAAAAAUUAAAAUAAAAGAAUCCCAGUAACCUUAUUAAAACUAAAUUAUAUAUUGUGGCUCCUGUUUUUUUGCUGUGUUGAACCUACUCUUUUUCACUCUUUAUAUAUUGCAUUAUUUUAUUUUAUUUUGUUGUUGCAUUGCUUUUAAUUUUUUUUUUUCCCCGUAAAGAAUAGAAUGUUAUCUCACAUUAUGGAUUGAAUAAAACAAUACUUGUUUCUUCGCAUUUAUCCAUAUCAAUAGGAAUAUGUACAUGGAUUAAAUUAUGCAUGGAGAAAGAAAAUCUCAACGCAACUUAUGUAGCCGUUAAGCCUUUCUUCGUCAAAAGCCCUUUCUCUAUUAAAAUUUUAAAUUUUUUGAAUUUUUUUUAUUGCUCAGCUCAAUUUAUCCUCUCUUUCCUUCUGUGCCUUCCGCCCGGACUGACAAAGAAUGUUAUGAAUACGUACUUCAUAGUGAUUCACGGGCAAUUUAUCCAUAUAGAUAAAUAAACCAUUUAGCUUUAUUGCUUUAAAAUAGUGAUUUUCAUUUUAAUUUUAAUUUAUCCAAUAUUUUACUUUAUAAAAUUAUUUUAUUAAAUGUUUUAAUUUACAUAUUUGUGUGAAUGCAUGCGACAUGCAAUAAUUAACAUUCGUUAUUAAACUCACAUCUUUUGAUUAACCUUUUUAGGAAGUAGAAUUUUUCUUGACCCGGUAAAGCUCCGCUUCCUUCACUGCAGAGCUAGAAAAGAAUUCUCUAGAUUUAGUAUUAAUUCAUGAAAUAGAUAAACGUACAAAAUUUAUUUGUAUUUAUCUGUUAGUGAACUUCGCAGUUGUAAAAUUUAUAUACCUUAGGCUGUGUAUUAUUAUAGAUGUAAUAAUUUUAUGAGGCCAUAUGAUAAACGUAAUGUGUUACAAUUUGAGCUCGAUCUACGAAAUGUUUAAAAUGUUAAAUUGGGCCAAAGAAUAAUAUAUUUUUGAGAUAAUUGAAUUUUUGCCCAUGGUAUUAUGGGCUAGUCAUUUGAAAUUUAUUUUGAGAUGGUUGAAUUUUAGUAGUUCAGGUUUCCUACAGGCCUCGGGGCCUUAUGCUUACCUGAGCCUUAGUGCCAGUCCCGGCUAUGAAAACGGAUCGUGACAAGUAGCAAGAGUGAAAAUUGCAAAAUUAAUUAGUAAAUUUAUAUAUUCAAUAUCUUUUCAAGAUUUUAAAUAAUGUUUCCUUGGCAUUUUUUAAUUGUAAAUAUUAUUACGGUAUUAUAUAAAUAUUUUUUGUUAAGAGCUGAAAUAAUGUCCUAAAUUAAAUAAUAAUGCCAUUGCAAAAUUAAUAUAUACUAAAAUUUUAUCUUAAUCUAUUUUUGCCCACCACUAAAUAUUAAAAAUUAUUAAUAUUUUUGUUUAUUUCUAUAAUGAGAAGUGAGUGUUUAAUUAUAAGAGUAGUUACUAAUUUGGUAAGGAUUGUUAAAAAGAAAAUAUUACUUUUUGUUAUAUAAUUUAUAAUAUUAUUUUGAUCCAUUCAAUUUUUACUAAAUGAAAAAAGAGAAAAUUAUCUAUAUUUAUAAUGAAAAAUAAAGAAAAUUUUAAAAGUCAAAAAUGAAAAACGAAAAUUGUUGCAACUAUCAACAUAAAUGGCAUGAUAAUGAUAUAGAAAUUGGAUAAGAAUAUGUAUAUUGAAUAAUUAUUCUAUAGUUUAAAUAAAAUAAUUAAUAAUUUUUCUAUAGUUUAAAUAAAAUAAUUAAUAAUUUCAUAUAUUCCUGAAAUCUUACCCUUAAAAUAAAAAUUUAAAUAUGCAAUUAUUGUGGGACUAAAUAUAAUUCACAAAAAUUAAUCAUGUAAAACUAUUUUACUAUUAAGUACUUAUUGUAUAUGUACACUAAUAAGUUCUAAAAUUUAAAACAUUUUGAGUAUUUUAAAGAGUAAGUAAAAUAUCUUUUCUCAUUUUAUAUUUAUUCAUUAUAUUUUCAUAUAUUACUUUUAGUUUUAAUAAAUGAUAAUUUAAUUAAAUUACUAUUGAUUUUAUUGUAAUUUAAAAAAUCAAUUACUUUUUAAUCUUUAUAAAAAUUUUAAAUGAUUUAUAUUUUGAAAUAAAAAAACAGUUAAAUCAGUGAAAAUAAAUUAUAUAUCCAAUCAAAUUUCCUGCAAUAUAAAAACUCAUAAAUUUGGAAUCACUGCUGUUACCGGAAUACCAUCCAGCUUGAACAUUUAAAAAAAAAAAAAACCAAAAGAAAAGAAAACCCGUAUAUAUAUUUUAUUAUGUCAUUAAAUAGGUGAUAGGCUAUUGGAUGGCGUAAGCUAAACAAAGAUAACAGACAUGACCAGUGCAUCUCAAUCAAAGGCAUUAGAGACUAGAGAGUCUAUAUCAGCUCUGAAAGUGCAGAGUAUUUUUGUUGAAGGCAACUUUUUAUUCUAAUUGAAGUUUUUGGUUUGGACAAAUUAAAUUAUGAGAAAUGGGAAAGAUGCAGCUUUAAUUGAUCUCAACGCGCUUCCCUUGCUUUAAAAGUUUCUUGCUAGGAAAUUAAUUACUUUGCGUUCCUUAAUCUGUAGCUCUUUUUUUUUUUUUUUUUUUUUUUUUUUUUUUUUUUUUAUCAUUGGAAUAGUGUCCAGCCCUUAAAACUGAUCGGGGGACAUGUGUAAUUCUACUCUCUACCUGGAGUCCAUAUAAAUUGGGCAAAUUUUCAAUACACAUGUUAUGAUAUAUGAGCAUUGACGUUAAGCUCAAAUAUGGAUUAAUUAACUGCUUGUACGCUCCUAAGAAUCGAACAUAAAAUGACGAGAAAUUUAUCCAGCAUGGUUUCCCUUAGACUAACCCCAUGCUUCCCUUAGACUAACCCUUUGGGGAUAAUCUUACAAUUAACAUCCUAAAUCCAGCUAGUUUCUUGUUAGGACAUUAUUUAAUUUAUAAUAAAUAAUUUAUGGACAUUAUUUUUUGUUAGGACAUCCUCAAUGCUUUAAUUUAUAAAAUUACAUUUAUUAAACAGUUUAAUUUGCAAAAUAAAUUAGUUAAAUAUCUAUUAAAUAAUUGAUAAGUAAAAAUUAGUAUUUCAAAAGUUAUGCUAAACUACAUAUCGAAUUGAUAUUCUGCAGAUAAGAGCCAAAAAUUUUAAAAACUAUUGUUAUUAGUGUGAAAAUAUGUAUAAUAGUUAAAAUUGCAAAGUUUAUAGAUCUAUACAUUCAGACUUUCUCAAGAUUUUAAAUAAUAUUUACUUUGGCAAUUUUCAAUUCUAAAAAUUAUUACAGUUUAUUAUAAAUUUUUUGUUAGGAGUCGAUUGCCAAAUAUACAACAUGCAGGUUUCCUUUCCUUUUUUUAUUAUAUAUAUAUUUUUUAUUUUAUGGCUUUCAAAGAAGAAAUAAUGUCAAAAAAAAUGCUAAAUUGAAUCCGGCGAAAAACAAAUACAAAAACAAAAAAGAGAAUAAAAACCAGACACGGAUUGCUCAGAGUUGAAAUUCUGCCGCAUAUUUAGAGUUGCCUCUCAUUACCGGAUCACUUCCAAUGAUGCAUCAUAGUAAAACCAAUAAUUGAUCAAAGUUCCAAUGGGUGUCAUCAAAUGAAAGAAUAGAACUAUUUAACAAGGAAGAAAGAAGAGGAUACAUUUCUACUUUACAUGAUAGAAAAUAUGAAGAACCCAAAUUCUCGAUAACCGGUACACUAAAAUUUCAGUGGAGAAGAAUACAAUUUGGCUCUUCCGGUCUCUACUCUCUCUAUAGCACGGAACGUGCAGCCCUCCAACCAGCAGAAUAUGUAUAGUCUUCUCUCUAACAUCACAGCAGAAGUGGGCAAAUCAAUUGAUGUAGGAAGAAGACAUUAGUCCCUGCAAAACAAAAGCAAAAGGUUAAAAUGUCUCUGGCAUCGCAAACUUACAAGUGAUGAUGCAAAGGUUAUGAUGUCUUCUGAAAUUAUCUAGAAAUUAAAUGUUCAUAAUAUAAAUUCCAGCUUAUGUUAAAUUCAAAACUAAAAUUGGCGCGUUCACCAAAAUCAAUGAAAAUCUUCAUUUAUCCAAUAGCAAAGGUUCUUCAGGUCACUGGUGUUGGCAGCAGUUUUUAUCCAUUAGAAAACUAAAAACCUUGCGGGUCAUAAUCAAUAAACGGAAUCAGUAGGACCCUUCCCCAAUAGGCCAAUUCCAUAUCUAGGCUUUUAUUCCAAGAAAAAAAACUCCCAAAUCAAAUAUCUACCAUAAAAUGGUGUACGAGGCACACUAAAUCUCCUAAUGUCCUGGUCAACCAUGGAAGAGAAUGGCAAAUUUCAAUCAGAAAGAAGUCUGCGUCAUCUUAAUGAGCAGACUAGCUUGAAACAAAUAUUCAGAAGAUGAUCUUGAUUUGAGCAAUCCCCAUUCAGGAUUGAUGCAAAACCAAGCCUCACAAAGACAUUAGAAUUCUGCCCCAGUUCUUUAUUUCAAGUAUCAGAUACAUGACAUGACUAAUUUUGGGACAUCCAUUCAAUCAAAGUAAUGAAAGAGAUAUUUUGAUGAUGAAAUGAGUUUGCUUGAUUUUACAUGAUAGUAAGCAUCUAUACUACUAGUCAGCAAUGAGAAGUAAUACAUAACCAUGCAUGCUAAAAACUGCACCAUAGAUGCACAGAAGCAUAAGCUGAAAAUGUAAAGCAAAUUUUCCAAGAGAAUAAAUCCAAGUAACAAUGCAGAGGAGAUGUUGAAUAAUUGAAAGAGGAAAUUAAGAGGGUUAUCUCUGCCAAAGCAAUGGAAUUCACAACCCUUUACAGAAACUUCCAUUCAAAAUGCAUAUCGUUUCAUCUUCUUGUGUUUCCAAUUAACAUAUAUACAUAAAAUAACACAUAAAUGCAGAAUACGGAUAAUGUAAAAUAAGGGGAUUGUGACUCUACGACAUGAUUUUGAAAAUUUGCAGCAGCACAACAACAGCAGCCAAGCCUUAGCCACAAACUAGUUGGGAAUUUGCACAAAUACACAAAAUCUUUUGUUUCCUUAUGGCUCUAUGCUAGAUAUAGAUAAUACUAAACUGAAUUCAAAAUGUCCUUUAGUAUCCUAAAGGGUUAAAAUCAAUCUUAAAUGACAAGAAGAAAAUGCCAAUUCAUUUUGUUUGGAAUGCAAAAAUAUCAUGCAAUUCAUCAUCCAACCUAAAUAAAAUCUGCAAGCUCCUGUGAGUUUCAGAACCAAUGAGAAGAUAAUGCAACUGCUAAAAGCAAUAUAUCGAACCAGAAUAAAGUGACUUCGAGACCAAAAAUACAACAAUAAUGGUUUUAGCUACCUUCUUAGUUCCAUCAGAUGCAGUGCAAACACCUUCCAAAGAUAUUGCCUCAAAUUCUGCGUGUUCACUCAACAUUUUCCCAAAAUCCUUAUUCAAACCUGAAUAAGGUUAUCAAAGACAAAAUUCAUAAGGCUCAGCAUGUCUCUCUUGUUGGAAGAGAGAUUCAAUUUUGCACAUAGACAGGGACAUCAAAGGGAGAUAAAAUCAUUUAGCUCACUGAAAAGGCUAUAAAACCGGACAAUAGCAUUUCAGAGACAAGGUGCUGUAAGAAUACCUUCUAGCUCAUCAACAUAAUGCGCUCAAAUAUUUUCCCCAUAAAGACGCUUCCACAGCAUCAUAGCUUGACCAGGUCUGAAUCCAUGAGAUUGAACCCAUUUCUGGCAUAGUGGAUUCCCACAAUUAUUACUUGGAAAACUUGAACAUAAAUUCUCAUGUUUGGAAUAUUAGAAUUCAUUUUGAAUUUCUAGUCUAGCUAGCUUGUACCACAGUUUAAAAUUAUAUACUUUUUUGAGUUUAGCAUAGGAAGAAAGACUUUUCUCUGCCAUGUGCACGUCUUGUCUGUCAUGUGCAUGCCUUUGAAACAUUGAAUUUUUGUCUUCCACUCACAAGCCUUGGAUACCGUCCACUAUGUGCACGCCUUGCUCUUUGUCGCCAUGAAACCAUCACUAUCUUCCAUCUUUUCCAGAUCUUGUUUAUUCCAUCAACCCAACGAAACCAUAACUCUUUCCUCUUGCCUGAAUUGUUUCCGUUUCAGCCAUGGAAGAUAAUUUUGCUCACCUUUCUAUAGAUGAGGAGGAGGAGACUGGACUUUCCCUUCCUACUCCUACUCAUAAUCCUCCAGUUGAUCCGUAUAAUUUCUGUUUGGUUGGCAUGUUUCUCACUUAUAGCAGAGUCAACUUUGAGGCUAUGAAACACACGCUAGCAGAUCUCUGGCAUCCUUUAGGCGGAAUGGAUAUUCAGGAAGUGGGAGCCAAACGUUUUCUCUUCCGUUUCUACAAUGUGGUUGAUAUGGACAGGGCUAUCUCUGGUAGUCCUUGGUUCUUUAAUAAACAUCUUCUUGUUUGGCAACAGAUCCAAAGUGGUGAAAACCAGUUGGAGAUCCCUUUAUUGUUUGCUGACAUUUGGGUCCAAAUUAGAGAUGUUCCGAAUGGAAUUGUGGGUGAAGGUACAGCUAGAGCGUUGGGUGAUUCCCUUGCCGUAAACCUCUUCCGGGGACAAUAGAUCCAACAGUAUUCCCAUUAACAAUAACUGAAUAUUUUACGGAAGUCAUACACAUCUUCAUCCAAUUUACCCACAUAGCACAGAACCCCAUUUUCUCAAGCAUGGCACAAACAUACGCCCAACAAACUUUGUCAUAGGCUUUACUGAUGUCAAUUUUCAGUGCACAAUUUCCACAUCUACUUUUACUUGGCUUCUUAAGAUGAUGCAUCAUUUCAAAGGAGAUUAAAAUAUUAUCAGUGAUAAGCCGUCCAGGUAUAAAAGCAGACUGAUAGCAAGAGAUAAUAUUUGGUAACACAAAUUUUAAUCGGUUCGUUAGGAUUUUAGACACAAUCUUGUAGAGCACGUUACACAAAGAAAUAGGUCUAAAAUCAGUGACCAAUUCUGGUCUAUCUUUCUUAGGGAUCAAAACAAUUAAGGUAUCAUUUAGAGAUUCCGGGAAAAUACCUUGUUGCAGCCAAUGGUUACAGGCAGUUACCAAAUCCCCACCAAUUAAAGGCCAGAAUUUCUGAUAGAAAGCAGGGUUCAAACCAUCCGGGCCGGGUGCUUUAUGAAGACCCAUUUGAAAAACUGCUGCUUUUGCUUCGUCAAGUGAGAUGGGAGCUGUCAACAUGCAGUUAUCUUCAUCGCUUAUUGUACUGCGGACCAAUCUCAAAAUGGGCUGAAAAUGUGUCAUUAUGCGUAAAGAGAUGAGUGAAAUAGUCAACAAACAGCUGCUGCUUUUCACAUUCCUUUUCAAUCCACUGCCCCGCAGCGUUUUGUAGUUUAUUAAUGGAAUUCNNNNNNNNNNNNNNNNNNNNNNNNNNNNNNNNNNNNNNNNNNNNNNNNNNNNNNNNNNNNNNNNNNNNNNNNNNNNNNCGUCUAGCAUCCUCCUGCGCUAGAAUAUUGCCCCACUCUCUAAUUAAACCUGUGGUAUCGGCAAAAGGAUCAAUCUCUCGAGCAAAAUCUAUAGCACGCUUCAAGCUGUUCUUUUUCUUCCAAAAUCUCGAAUUCCUGUCCAUACCCCAACUGUGCAGUGCGGCUAUACAAGAUUUUUUACGGAGCAUUAUAUCAGACCCCAUGGAGGAGGACCAACUGUCUCGAACUAUCCCAACCAGAUCUUCAUCAUGAAGCCAAGCAUUAUCAAAACGAAACCUCCUCUCCUUCCUACAAGGUACCGCACCCUCAACCGUCGAAACUAACAAUGGGUCAUGGUCCGAUGUUGGUGAAACCAAUGUAGUCGUAGAAGCUUCCUGGAAUAAACUGGACCAAUAAUUAUUAGCCAUAGCUCGGUCAAGUUUCUCACGGGUGAUAAUUCGGCCAAAUCUUUUUAAUAACCAAGUAAAUUUAUAGCCUUUAGCAGGAAUAUCACAUAAAUCACUCUCCACUGCCGCCUCCUUAAAACCAUUCAACAAGUAUCUAGGAUAUUGGUUUCCACCAAUCUUCUCUGAAUCAGCCAAUAGAUUAUUAAAAUCCCCAACACAUAACCAAGGACCAUUAUGUCUACGGGAUAAAGUUUUAAUCAAGUCCCAAGAGUCCUGCCUUCUACAUCUUUCUGGAAACCCAUAAAAACCAGUUAGGCACCAAGAAAUACCAGAAGAAAGAACCAUAGCAUCAAUAAAAUUAUUUGAGUAACAAGAUAUGGAAACAUCAACUUCACUCUUCCAAAGCAAACCAAGACCACCACUUCUCCCAAUACAAUCCACAGAAAAGCAAGAAUCAAAACGCAACAAAGAACAAAGAUCAACAAGCUUCAUUUUAUGAACUAAAGUUUCACAAAGGAACAAAAUAACAGGGCGGUAAAUUGCAACAAAGUCCCAUAGAGCUUGUACUGUCCGAGGGUUGCCAAGUCCUCGACAGUUCCACGAGAGGAUCUUCAUUUCUUCCGGCCAUCCUGCUUCACAGGAUCAACCGAUGUAUGUUUCUCCGACUGAUUGAUGGUCGAAAUGGUACCAGAUGCAGAAUCAUUUUGAGUAGAAACUGCAGCGGUGCUAUGAGUGGUAGGAAGAAUUCGUUGUCUUUUUUUAUUCUCAUCACUGAUACAUAAAGCCACAUCUUCAACUCCGCCCUCUUCAGAAAAAUCAGCUUCCAUUGUAUCGGAGUUAUUGCCUUCGUCAAGAUUUGAAGAUGUACCAUAAAAGGAGUUACGAAAAUUUCUCACCACAGUGUUAUCUCCUUCCAAAACGGAUGUUGAAUUACUAAGUGUCCAAUCUGCUGAAAUGUCAGCGACACCAAAGGAUCGGAUCCAGGAACUCUGUCGUCUCGCUCCACGCCGCACCGGAGCACGAAUACUAUCAUCCCAGGCCAAAAUCAGUUCCUCUCUUGGUUUAGAUAACCGAAGAUCACAGAAUGACUCUGUAUGACCAAUGCGGCCACAGAGAAAGCAAAUCGUGAAAACCUUCUCAUAUUGAAAACGAACAUAAUAAACCUCUCCAGACAGAGCAAUUAAUUUCUUUUUACGUUUGAGAGGCUUCCUAAUAUCCAGUUUUACUUUGAUGCGAAGGAAUUCAAAAACAGCCUCCAUAGAUGUCUUAAAAUCACCCAACGCUCUAGCUGUACCUUCACCCACAAUUCCAUUCAGAACAUCUCUAAUUUGGACCCAAAUGUCAGCAAACAAUAAAGGGAUCUCCAACGGGUUUUCACCACUUUGGAAGGGAAAGUCCAGUCUCCUCCUCCUCAUCUACAGAAAGGUGAGCAAAAUUAUCUUCCAUGGCUGAAACGGAAACAAUUCAGGCAAGAGGAAAGAGUUAUGGUUUCGUUGGGUUGAUGGAAUAAACAAGAUCUGGAAAAGAUGGAAGAUAGUGAUGGUUUCAUGGCGACAAAGAGCAAGGCGUGCACAUAGUGGACGGUAUCCAAGGCUUGUGAGUGGAAGACAAAAAUUCAAUGUUUCAAAGGCAUGCACAUGACAGACAAGACGUGCACGUGACUCUACAACAUGAUUUUGAAAAUUUGCAGCAGCACAACAGCAGCAGCCAAGCCUUAGCCACAAAUUAGUUGGGAAUUUGCACGAAUACACAAACUUUUUUUUUUUUUUCUUAUGGCUCUAUGCUAGCUAUAGAUAAUACUAAACUGAAUUCAAGAUGUCCUUUAGUAUCCUAAAGGGUUAAAAUCAAUCUUAAAUGACAAGAAGAAAACGCCAAUUCAUUUUGUUUGGAAUGCAAAAAUAUCAUGCAGUUACCCCAACAGUAGCACAAGAUAUUUCAUAUGGCCAAACAUAUUAUCAAAUAUCAAAUAAAACUGAGAAAGGAAAAUGUUUAUCUAACCUGUCAUUUACUCCUGCAAGCAUCACAUACUCGAACAAAGCUUUGUAAUUCUUUCUGGACUGGAGUCCCUUCCGAAGGGUGUCAAGAAGCGAGCCUAAAUUGUAUUUCCGGUUAAUUUGCAUGAUCCAGUUUCUUACCUGCAUGGUUUAUUAGUUAAAGAGAAAGUCAACAACCUGGAUGUGUUUCUCAAGUGAAUAAACAUAUGGAUAUAAAUGAAAAUGCACCUCAUCAGCUGUCGCAUUCAGACUAACAGCCAAAGCACAAUUGAAUUCAUGGAGGAAACGUUUCAACUGGGGGACAAGCCCGCUUGUAGAAAUAGUGACCCUGCGAGGACUAAAAUGAAGACCCUGCUCAUGCACCAUAAUAUCGGCAGCUUUUAUGACAUUUUCAAUGUUCUGAAGUGGUUCUCACAUUCCCUGCAAAUACAUAUUUCAAAGCGAAUUAUUAGAAAUUAUUGGGCUAACUAAAAAUCUAUUUUCUCUCACUUAAACCAAGAUCUUUGAAAAAUAGGGAUUAAUACUUCAUGGAUGUAAUAACUCUCCUUCAAAUAUCUAAUAGAGCUAGACUAGAGACACUUCACCAAACAAAAAUCCAUUGCAAUAGCUGCAGCAAAAGGAAUACAGAAACAUACAAGGGUUAGAAGGGUGUAAAUGUCCAUAGGUAGUGGAUAUGCAAUCCAGGAAUAGUAUUGUUGAAUGGUUGGACAAGUAUUCCAAUCAAUGAAUAAGGAAACACAUGGACUUAAUUCCUCAAAUUAUGUGUUUUUCUAUGUGACCAGGGAAUGCAUAACGACGACAAAACGAAUGAAAUUUUUCUAUUUAUGUUCUCGAUAGAUAGUGAAAAUAACAUUGAAUUAUUAGAUGCCUUAGUACUGGACUGAGCAAAGUCACUAACUGAGCCAAAUCUGAACUGAUUGGAAAAACUUCUGUGAAUAGAAAAUUUUCUAGAUCACAGACUUACCAUAAAUACAACGUUUGUGAUGGAACCAACUUCGCUCGUCACAUGACGUUGUGCAAAUACAACCUGGUCUACAAUCUCUGCAGUAGUCAGAUGUCUCUUCAAACCCAUCCUAAAAAUUGGAUUAUGCAUCAAGAAGAUGUACCUUGUAGAAAGUAAGAAUAGCAAUAAUAGAGAUACAAAUAAGAAAGAUAUAAAGCUUACCUGCCAGUGUAGGAGAACUGACAAUUCAUGGCACAGCCCACUUGACUUGAAACACAAACUGUCCUCCUACCUCUAUCACAAGGUAUGACGACUGUUUCAAUUACCAGUUCAUCAUCCAACCUAAAUAAAAUCUGCAAGCUCCUGUGAGUUUCAAAACCAAUGAGAAGAUAAUGCAACUGCUUAAAGCAAUAUAUUGAACCAGAAUAAAGUGACUUCGAGACCAAAAAUACAACAGAUAAUGGUUUUNNNNNNNNNNNNNNNNNNNNNNNNNNNNNNNNNNNNNNNNNNNNNNNNNNNNNNNNNNNNNNNNNNNNNNNNNNNNNNNNNNNNNNNNNNNNNNNNNNNNNNNNNNNNNNNNNNNNNNNNNNNNNNNNNNNNNNNNNNNNNNNNNNNNNNNNNNNNNNNNNNNNNNNNNNNNNNNNNNNNNNNNNNNNNNNNNNNNNNNNNNNNNNNNNNNNNNNNNNNNNNNNNNNNNNNNNNNNNNNNNNNNNNNNNNNNNNNNNUUCAGAGACCAGGUGGUGUAAGAAUACCUUCUAGUUCAUCAACAUAAUGCGCCCAAAUAUUUUCCCCAUAAAGACGCUACCACAGCAUCAUAGCUUGACCUCGUCUGGAUCCAUGAGAUUGAACCCAUUUCUGGCACAGUGGAUUCCCACAAUUAUUACUUGGAAAACUUGAACAUAAAAUUAUACAUAAAUUCUCAAGUUUGGAAUAUCAGAAUCCAUUUUGAAUUUCUAGCCUAGCUAGCUUGUACCACAGUUUAAAAUUAUAUACUUUUUUGAGUUUAGCAUAGGAAGAAAAAGAAAGUAGAAAAACACACUUCAAGCUCAGUGUAAUUCAUUCCCUUAAGAAGCACCUUUGAACCAUUGGUUAGAAUAGCAUUCAUGUCUCUACUUUCUACACAAAUAAACAACCACAAAACAAAUAAAUAAAUAAAUAAAAUUGCAGCUCGAAAAACAACAUAUGUUACUAGGAAACGAUUUAUCUGCUUACCCAUAUAAACAGGAAGCAGUGACGAUGAACAAGCGGCGGCCUUUCAAAUUUGAAUUCUUUAGCUAAUUUGGGAACGAGAUGUUUCAAAUUUAAAUUCUUUCAAAUAUUUUGAUCAAUUUGCUGAGUUUAGAAUAUAGUUAUUCCUAUAGUAUAAUCAGUUGAAUUUAGCAUAGCCCUGUAUAACAUAUUAUUUCAAUUCGUUUAGCCUCUCAUAAAUGAAUAAAUAAAUAAUAAAAAUUCCUAAGUUAUUGGCAGAUUCUUUCUUCACCAUUAUUAUUAUCAUAUAAUAAAUUGCUGAACCCAGAUUCCAUACAUUAAUUAAUUAAUUAAAAUUAAUAAUAAAUCGUUUUCUUCGAUGACGCAUAUAUAAUCGACCAUUUUGUCUGUAUAUUAUUUCUACGUUUAUAGCUAUCAUCGACUAUGCAAUUCCAAUUUUCCUUCUAAAACAAGAACACUCGCUCCCGCUGUUUCUCUCAGAAAAACUAAAAAUGGGAGGUGGCGAAGCAGCUGGGGCAGACACCGGAAUCCGGCGAAGAGGCUGUUCUUGUACGAAGAACGAUUUUCUUCCAGAAGAAUCAUUUCAAAGCUGGGGAAAUUACAUGAAAGCUCUUAGCGAAACUCCAAUGCGAUUCAAGGAUCGGUUAUUGACCAGAUCCAUGGACUCCACGGAGCUCCAUGAAAUAAAGGCUCGAAGCGAGCAUGAUAUGAAGAAGGACCUUACUUGGUGGGACUUAAUCUGGUUUGGCAUAGGGGUUGUAAUCGGGUCAGGUAUAUUUGUUCUAACCGGACUUGAGGCACGUGACCACGCCGGACCUGCUAUUCUGUUAUCUUAUGUGAUUUCGGGUGUUUCUGCUAUGCUCGCUGUGUUUUGCUAUACUGAGUUUGCUGUGGAAAUUCCAGUUGCAGGUAUGCUAUGGGUUUAAUAUUCAUAUUAAGGUAAUUUAUUUAUUUUUGCUGACCAAAUUAUUAGUUAGUACUUAGUAGGAAGGGGAGGCCUGGUCGGGUCGGGUCGGGUCGUGGAGAGAUAGUAACACUGAAAUUAAUUGAACAAAUGAAAUUAAAGGACUAACACUGAAAUUAAAUAAAAAUUCUAUUUCUUUUUCAUUUUAUGGUAACUACACAAAACAGCAAUUUUCAAUCGAUAUAUAGCUAGAGAGCUACAUUAUUUCAAAAAAAAAUUAAACAGGCGAAUUAUCGUCCUUUUUUGUAAUAUAAGGUCUUAUAAUUUCAAUUUUCUCGUUGAAUUUCUCUCGUAGUUUGCUAAUUAAACGGUAGUUCUCUAUCUCUUCCCUUGAAUUAUAUAUUUCUUUAGUUAACAAGGAGGCCCAUAAGAUUAAAAUGAUCCAACCAUAAAUUGAGAAAACCAUAAAUACAAGUGCAACUACGGCCAAUCCAAGAGCAAAUAAGCCAACUUUGCUAGUAAUUGAAUUGAAGGAGUUCCAAGCUUGAAAGAUAGUUCCAAACCCAUAUGUGAGUAGAGCAACAAGAAAGAUUGGCAAUAUAAUGUAUGUGUCUGUAUCAUCCAAAGACUUGAGUUGAAUGAGGCCAAUUAAACUUGCUAUGAUCAAGGUGAAAACAUUAUGUACUGCAUUUAAAUUUUCCCUGAAAAGAAAAAUGAAAUAAAUAAACCAUUAGAAGCUUUAGCACAUUUCAAUUUAACUAUAUAUAUUUGUAAUUGAUAAGGAUAAACAAAGUUGCAUAAAUUUUAUAGACUUAGCAAUAAUUGGAAAAUGGAUAAAAAUUUUAGAAGAGUUUUGAAUAAUCUUUCAUGAAUUGAAUAAAGAUUGAUGCCUUGAAAUGACGGAGAAGUUAAACAAGUGUGCUCUGUCUAGCCAUGAAAGAAACACCGAAAAACUUGAAGAUACAAUAAAAAGUUUGCAACCCAAUAUUUAAUGAUACUUACCUUUCGAUUGGCAUUUUCUUUUAAAUUCUUCGUGCUUGUUAGAGAACGCAGUAAUGGUAGAGAACGCAAGAAUCGGAAGAUAGGAGAGAAGCUGCAAUGACUCAGCUUGCAAGAAUCGGAAGAUAGGAGAGAAGCUGCAAUGACUCACUAGAGAAUCGGGCUUGCAAGAAUCGGCCGAUAGGAGAUAGGAGAGAGAGAAGCUGCAAUGACUCACUAGAGAUUCGGGCUUGCAAGAAUCGGCCGAUAGGAGAUAGGAGAGAGAGAAGCUGCAAUGACUCACUAGAGAUUCGGGCUUGCAAGAAUCGGCCGAUAGGAGAGAUUCAAGCUAUAGGAGAGAUUCAAGCUGAAUCGGGGAGAAAGGAGCUUUUAUAGUAGCAGUUUCGGUAGCCCCCUGCUCUCUCUUCCCACCCCCUAUCAAAAUUCAUAUUUUGCCCUUACAUCAACCCCCUAUCAAAAUUAAUGUCAAAAAAAAAAAAAAAAAAAAAAAACCCCCUAUCAAAAUUAAUGUCAAAAAAAAAAAAAAAAAAAAAAAACCCCCUAUCAAAAUUCAUAUAUUUUGCCCUCAUAUAUCCUCUCACGCUACCUCUGUUCCGCAUUGAAGGGCAUUGAAGGGUAUAUUGGGUAUAUUGCGAAAGUUGCAUUGAUCAUAUUUUGCUACCUCUGUUCCGCGUCGGCAUUGAAGGGUUUAUUGCGGAAGUUGCAUUGAGGGAUUAGUUUGCAUAUGGCCACAACUAAGAUUAUAAGUUAACAUAACUUUAUAUGGGCCGUUGAUAUGCUUCUUCCAUUCAAUUUUUCCAUUUUGGUCUGAUGGGUCGUUGAUUCUUCGAUUCAAUUUUUCCAAGCCCAACCUCAUUACCUUGUUGUCAGAAUCUACAGAUACUAAUAGGUUAUAAAAAAAGAUUUCAAGACUUUUACACAGGCAAUAUGGGACAAUAUUAUUCUUUGGAAAAAAAAAAAAAAAACUAUUAUUGCUGUCUUCCGAUUGCCUUUCCAAUCGGAUUCCUAGUGCUGUUUCUCUCACAUCUGCCUUAAUUAUUCAAUAAAUAAAUUUUCAUUAUUACUUUUUUCAGUUCAUUAAUAUUGGCAAUUGGUAAAAAGGGGUGGAUUAUGAUAUCAUAUUAAAAAAAUAAAAGCUGAAUAUGCAAACUUAGGUAUUAAAAGCUAAAAGUACUAAUAAAUUAUAAGAAAGUGAUGUAGGAUAAACAAAAUUAAAUAUAUUUUUUUUAGCACAAUGUUUUUAACAUCCUCAAAUAUAAUUUCACCUCUAAUAUGAUUUUGUUUUUACAUUUUAUUUUUACUUAUUGCACCUACAUAUUUUAAAUUAUAUAUUGUGGCUCCCUGUUUUUAUUAUUUUAAAUUAUAUAUUUCAUUCUCAUUAACCAUUUCUCUGUCAAAAUUUUAAAAUUAUUUAUUGCCUGAUUAACUGAUCAAUUUUAUGCGUAAUAGUUAAAAUUGUAAAGUUCAUUUAUUUAUAUAGUCAGCUUUUCUCAAGAUUUUAAAUAAUAUUUACUUUGUCAUUUUUCAAUUCUAAAAAUUAUUACAGUUUAAUAUAAAUUUUUUGUUAAGAGUUGAUUGCUAAAUACACAACAUGCAGGUUUCCUUCCUUUUUUUCAUUAUAUAUAUAUAUAUUUAUUUUAUGGCUUUCAAUGAAGAAAUAAUGUCAAAAAAUGCUCAAUUGAAUCCGGCGAAAAAAUAAUAAACCAGACGCGGAUUGCUCAGAGUUGAAAUUCUGCUGCAUAUUUAGAGACGCUUCUCAUUACCGGAUCACUUCCAAUGAUGCAUCAUAGUAAAACCAAUAAUUGAUCAAAGUUUCAAUGGGUGUCAUCAAAUGAAAGAACAAAACUAUUUAACAAGGAAGAAAUAAGAGGAUACCGCAAAAUUGCAACUAAACCUCAGGAAAAGUAAAGCUAAGCCAAAAUCAAUAAUAAAAUUACAUUUCUACUUUACAUGAUACAAAGUAUGAAGAACCCAAAUUCUCAACAACCGGUACACUAAAAUUUCAGUGGAGAAUAAUACAAUUGGGCUCUUCCGGUCCCUACUCUCUCUACUGCACGGAACGUGCAGCCCUCCAACCAGCAGAAUAUGUAUAGUCUUCUCUCUAACAUAACAGCAAAGUGGGCAAAUCAAUUGAUGUAGGAAGAAGAAAUUAGUCCCUGCAAAACAAAAGCAAAAGGUUAAAAUGUUAGCUUUUCAUUCAAGGAGGAAGGGCUCUCCAAAUGUCUCUGGCAUCGCAAAUUUACAAGCGAUGAUGCAAAGGUUAUGAUGUCUUCUGAAAUUAUCUAGAAAUUAAAUGUUCAUAAUAUAAAUUCCAGCUUAUGUUAAAUUCAAAACUAAAAUUGGCACAUUCACCAAAAUCAAUGAAAAUCUUCAUUUAUCCAAUAGCAAAUGUUCUUCAGGUCACUGGUGUUGGCUGCAGUUUAUAUCCAUUAGAAAACUAAAAACCUUGUGGGUCAUAAUCAAUAAAGGGAAUCGGUAGGACCCUUCCCCAAUAGGCCAAUUCCAAAUCUAGGCUUUUAUUCCAAGAAAAAAACUCCCAAAUCAAAUAUCUACCAUAAAAUGGUGUCCGAGGCACAGUAAACAUCCUAAUGUCCUGGUCAACCAUGGAAGAGAAUGGCAGAUUUCAAUCAGAAAGAAGUAUGCAUCAUCUUAAUGAGCAGACUUGCUCGAAGCAAAUAUUCAGAAGACGAUCUAGAAUAGAGCGAUCCCAAUUCAGGAUUGAUGCAAAACCAAGCCUCACAAAGACAUUAGAAUUCUGCCCCAGUGCUUUAUUUCAAAUAUCAGAUAUAUGACAAGACUAAUUUUUGGACAUCCAUUCGAUCAAAGUAAUGAAAGAGAUAUUUUGAUGAUGAAAUGAGUUUGCUUGAUUUUACCUGAUAGUAAGCAUCUACACUGCUAGUCAGCAAUGAGAAGUAAUACAUAACCAUGCAUGCUAAAAAUUCCACCAUAGAUGCACCGAAGCAUAAGCUGAAAAUUCAAAACAAAUUUUCCAAAACAUUUUUUUUUUUAAAGAGAACCAAUCAAAUAUCAACAACUCAUUUCUCAUACAGAUGAAAUUCAUUCAACAUAAUAAGAAACUCAAAACAGAAUCUUAAAAUUAUGAAUAUUUUUUAGAGGCUCUGAUUAUGCAUUUGUCAAACAAAUGGGGUAAUAAAAAAAAAAAAAAAAAAAAAAAACUGCGUUAGCAAUCAUAGAAGAUAGUAACAGAAACAGAAACGGAAGUUUCUAAAGGAUGAUCAGUUUCACAGUAGCAGAGCAAAUAUUAAUAAAACAAAGAUUAAUACCAAUCCAAAAUGAAAUUUGAAACAUGGAAAUAAAAUAAAAAGAAACUGCCCCACCACAGUUUUCUCCCUUCAAAAUGCUUAAUUUGUAUUUAACAUUGUCGCAGCCGACAAGAACUCAAUAUUUAAGUAAAGCUGAAAUUUUCAAUUUUUUAUGAUAAUUUCGGAAAAAAAAAAUCAUCAGAUUUAAUUAAUUUAAUCUUUUUUUAAUCAAAUUCAGGAUUCAAUCAUUUACGGUAACUACACAAAAUAGCACCUUUUCAAUCGAUAUGUAACUAGAGAGCUACAGUAUUUCAAAAAUGAAUUACAUACAUAAAUCAUCGUGAUCUUCUAUAACAUAACGUCUUAUAAUUUCAAUGAUCUUGUUGAAUGUCUAUUGUAGUUUGCUAAUUGAACGGUAGAUCUAUUGUCGUGAAUUAUAUAUUACUUUCGCGAACAAAGAGGCCUAUAAGAUUAAAAUAAUCCAACCAAAAAUUGAUAAGGAUAAACAAAGUUGCAUAAAUCUUAUAAACUUAGCAACAAUUGCAAAAUGGGUAAAAAGUUUGGAAGAGUUUUGAAUAAUCUUUCAUGAAUUGUAAUAAAGAUUGAUAGCUUGAAAUGAUAGAGAAGUGAAACAAGUGUGCUCUGUCUUGCCAUGAAUGAAAUACUGAAAAACUUGAAGCAACAUAAAAACUUUGACAACCCAAUAUUUAACGAUACUAACCUUUCGAUUGGCAUUUUCUUUUAAAUUCUUCGUGCUUGCUAUUUUUUAGUUGCGAAUGAUGACUACCAACACAGGAAAAGGUCUGGUUCCCUGCCGAAAGAGUAAGGAAACGAGUCUGGUAAGAACGACUGAUAUAAGUAUAGCAAAUAUGUGCUCUUUGCUCUUUUUAUUUUAUGCACGAGUUUGUAAGGCCUGUUUCACAGGGCUCACAUCUCAUAUUGUUUUAGUUUUCAAAGUUUGCAUUGACUUUAUUCCAAGCAUGAUGCUAUUCUGUUGGUCUGGCGAAUUUUUUGUUUUUGUUCUUUGUUUUAAAGACGUAAAAUCAUGAUGCCUAUAUAAAAAUUAAAAUAAAAGAAUCCCAGUAACCUUAUUAAAAUUAAAUUAUAUAUUGUGGCUCCUGUUUUUUUCUGUGUUAAACCUACUCUUUUUCACUCUUUAUAUAUUGCAUUAUUUUAUUUUAUUUUGUUGUUGCAUUGCUUUUGAUUUUUUUUUUUCCCAGUAAAGAAUAGAAUGUUAUCUCACAUUAUGGAUUGAAUAAAACAAUACUUCUUUCUUCGCAUUUAUCCAUAUCAAUAGGAAUAUGUACAUGGAUUAAAUUAUGCAUGGAGGAAGAAAAUCUCAACGCAACUUAUAUAACCGUUCAGCCUUUCUUUGUCAAAAGCCCUUUCUCUGUCAAAAUUUUAAAUUUUUUUGAAUUUUUUUUAUUGCUCAGCUCACUUUCUCCUCUCUUUCUUUUUGUGCCUUCCGCUCGGACUGACAAAGAAUGUUAUGAAUAUGUACUUCAAUAGUGAUUCACGGGCAAUUUACCCAUAAACAUAAAUUCACCAUUUAGCUUUAUUACUUAAAUUUUACAAUGAUUUUUAUUUUAAUUUUAAUUUAUCCAAUAUUUUAAUUUAUAAAAUUAUUUUAUUAAAUGUUUUAAUUUACAAAAUAGAUAAAUUAAACACAUAUAAAAUAAUUAAAAUUUGUGAAAAUUAUUAUUCAAAAAAUUUUAAACACUAUUGUUACAAAAAUGAAAAAGUAUUUAAUAUUACCAAAAUUUAUAAAUUCAAAUAUACGAUAAAUCAUCGUAAAAUUCAAGAUAGCGAAACAACCCAUAAUUUUAUUUUUGAAAAUUUUGAAUUUUUAUUAAAUCAAACAUCAGAAAUUUAACUGCGUGGGCUGAAAGUGCUGUGUAAUUUUUGUCUGUGCUCAAAUUCCCGAGUUGGGCCCAAGCCCAAAGUAUAGUGUUACAGCUCUUAACCGAAAAUUUUCUAAACUCCUUAAGAAUUAUUUUGGGCAUUAAAUAUUAAAUUAAUUAAAAUAAAUUAGCUGGACUGUGAACUCGUUUGAAAUUUUCGAAAAUCAAGUGAAAACCAAGUCAGAUAGUUGAAUCAGACCAAACCAGUUCGAAUCGGAAUGAUCUAGAAACCCACCUACCUUCUUUCUUUUCCUCUCUUCUUCUUCUUCCUCAGCGCCAGAGCGCACGCUGCCCUUCCCUCCCCGUUUACGGACACUGGAACCAAUCGAGUGCAACUUCUCGCCGUCGCAUCACCCCUGCGGUUGCUCCGACCUCCUUUCCCCUCUCUCCUUCGUUCCUGGCGAGCGCAGCAACUGUCGGAGGGGUCGCGAUUCAGCUCGACCAUGAAGUCCCGCCUCCAGCUCGAUUUUCCGGCGAUUUCAAGCCACGAGUCAGUGUGGCCGACUCCCUCUCCUCCCUUGCUUCUAUUUUAUGGCGUCAGUCUUGAGUAAUGUCGCCUGGAUCGGAGAAGCCCAAAGAAGGGCGGCUGGCUGAAGGUUUGGAGGCAAUUUCCGACCGAACGAGGCACACUCAGCUCAAAUUGGUCAUAUAUUUGAGGUCCUUGCAUGAUUUCGAGCAUUUUGGCGUGCGGGUUGCCCAAUUCUGGGCUGUUUGGAUUUCUCCAGCCACCGUGGACGGCGGCGGAGGCGGAUCGUGGAAUUGUAGUCCGAUUCUUAAUCGGUACGCUCCAAGACCUAUUUUUCCAUUUUUAGUAUAAAUUCCAUUAAAUUGAAUUCGAACAAAUAUUUAAUCAGAUAUAAAUCUUGUUAGGAAUUAGUUAGUGGCAUAUUGUAAGAUGCAAAUUAAAUUUGAAUAUUGGUAAAUAUAUGUUAUGAAUAUUAAUUAUAAUUAGAAGACUUGAUAUUGAAAUGAGAAUUUUAGCUAAUAUUUAUGUAAAUUAACUUAGGAAAUUUAUUAAAUAUUGUUAGGGGGAGUUAUAAUCUAAGGCUUAGGCAAGUAAGUAAGAUAUAGAAAUUAUAUAUUCUAGGCUAUGAGUUUAAGCUAGAAUUUAGGAUUUCUAAGGGGUAAAGCUUUAACAGAUUGAUUCUUGGUGGUUAAUAUAGAAUUUUUUAACACAUGCAUAAAUAAAUGAGCUUUAUACCUAAAGCUAUGAUGAAGAAGAAAUGUCGUAACGAGAAGUUUCUUAAUGAUUAGAAGUCUAGAAACUAUCAAAUGAGAGUACUUGUAAUUAACUUGGCGAAACAAGUUUUAUUUAUAAAUUGUUUAGUUAUUUGGUAAUUAGUUAUAGAAUAAAUUCGGAGGUUGAUAUAAAUUGUUAAUUAAUUGGUUGGAAUUAUUAAGCGCAUAUAUGUGUGUGAAUUGAGUGAACAAAUGAUUGAUGAAUAUGGUUACGGCGGAUGAGAUGAGUAUAUGUGAAUUGUAAAAAUUAACUAGUAAAUUUAUAUAUUCAAUACUUUUUCAAGAUUUUAAAUAAUGUUUCCUUGGCAUUUUUUAAUUGUAAAAAUUAUUACGGUAUUAUAUAAAUAUUUUUUGUUAAGAGCUGAAAUAAUGUCCUAAAUUAAAUAAUAAUGCCAUUGCAAAAUUAAUAUAUACUAAAAUUUUAUCUUAAUCUAUUUUUGCCCACCACUAAAUAUUAAAAAUUAUUAAUAUUUUUGUUUAUUUCUAUAAUGAGAAGUGAGUGUUUAAUUAUAAGAGUAGUUAUUAAUUUGGUAAGGAUUGUUAAAAAGAAAAUAUAACUUUUUGUUAUAUAAUUUAUAAUAUUAUUUUGAUCCAUUCAAUUUUUACUAAAUAAAAAAAGAAAAAAUUAUCUAUAUUUAUUAUGAAAAAUAAAGAAAAAUUUAAAAGUCAAAAAUGGAAAACGAAAAUAGUUUCAACUAUUAACAUAAAUGGCAUGAUAAUGAUAUAGAAAUUGGUGUAAGAAUACGUUCUAGCUCAUCAACAUAAUGCGCCCAAAUAUUUUCCCCAUAAAGACGCUACCACAGCAUCAUAGCUUGACCAGGUCUGGAUCCAUGAGAUUGAGCCACAGCAACAUUUCUGGCAUAGUGGAUUCCCACAAUUAUUACUUGGAAAACUUGAACAUAAAAUUAUACAUAAAUUCUCAUGUUUGGAAUAUUAGAAUUCAUUUUGAAUUUCUAGCCUAGCUAGCUUGUACCACAGUUUAAAAUUAUAUACUUUUUUGAGUUUAGCAUAGGAAGAAAAAGAGAGUAGAAAAACACACUUCAAGCUCAGUGUAAUUCAUUCCCUUAAGAAGCACCUUUGAACCCUUGGUUAGAAUAGCAUUCAUGUCUCUACUUCCUACACAAAUAAACAACCACAAAACAAAUAAAUAAAUAAAAUGGGAGCUCGAAAAACAACAUAUGUUACUAGGAAACGAUUUAUCUGCUUACCCAUAUCAACAGAAAGUAGUGACGAUGAACAAGCGGCGGUAGAAACGGAACGAGGAGAUGGAGAUUGGGCGGUGGCGGUGAUGAAGAGAGUUGUUUUAGAGAGGAAAGAGAGAGAUGAGAUCGAUUUGGGUAAGGAAUUGAGAGCCAAGCAGAUGAGGAGUCCAUGGAAGGGUGAUUUACAAGAACCACUGACCGCACGCGCUUCAUCCACAUACAACUCAUCUCCAUUCUCCGAUUUCCUGUAGCCCGAAAGUAUUACAUGUUCAUUUGAUGAAAAUAUAUAUUAACAUCAUCACAGCCGACAAGAACUGAAGAUUUAAGUAAAGCGGAAAUUUUCAGUUUUUUAUGAUAAUUUCAGAAAAACAAAAGAAAAAUUCAUCAGAUUUAAUUAAUUUAACCAAAUUCAGGAUUCAAUCAUUAUUGCAAAAAAGUGAACUGAUCAUUCAGAAUUUGAAAUAAUCCGUAGCACCUGUUUAGUAAUCGCAGAGCUUAAAACCAACAAAUGAAAAAAUAAAGGGAAAAAGAAAAAGGAAGGUUCUCACCAAUUUGAAGCGAUUAAUCAAAAUUUGAAGAGAUAGGUUCCCUUUUUUUUUUUUUUCCUUGAAUUGACCAAUUUCAGGCGUUUUUUCCUUUUUCAGAAGGGAGAGGAAUUGAGGCGAAGAAGAAGAGAUUAAGAGAGAGGUAGUUAGUACUUAACAUGAAGGAGAGGCGUGGUCGGGUCGUGGAGAGAUAGUGAGAUGUGGGCUUUACCAAAGAAAUGGACUCUGGAAGUUGGGAAUACAUAUGGUCUUUAAGAUUAUGGAUUUUUUUUUAUUUUUUUCAAAUGAUUAUAAAAAUAAUUGAAUAAAUGAAAUUAAAGGAUGAACACUGAAAUUAAAUAAGAUUUUUAUUUCUUUUCUAUUUUAUGGUAACUAUACAAAAUAGCACAUUUACAAUCCAUGUGUACCUAAAGAGCUACAUUAUCUCAAAAAAAGAAUCACACAGGUAAAAUAUUGUGCUCUUCUGUAACAUGACGUCUUAUGAUUUCAAUUAUGUUGUUAAAUCUCUCUCGUAGUCUGCUAAUUAAACGGUAAAUCUCUUCAAGUGAAUUAUAUAUUACUUUAGCGCAUAAGGAGGCCCAUAAAAUUAAAAUAAUCCAACCAAAAAUUGGAACAAGGAAAAACAGAAGUGCAACUAUGGCCGAUCCAACAGCAAAUAGGCCAACUUUGCUAAUAAUUGAAUUGAAGGAGCUCCAAGCUUGAAAGAUAGUUCCAAACCCAUAUGUGAAUAGACCAACAAGAAAGAUUGUUAAUAUAAAGUGUUUGUCUGUAUCAACCAAAGGCUUGAUUUGAACGAGGCCAAUUAAACUAGUUAUGGUGAAGGUGAAAACUUUGUGUACUGCAUUUAAAUUUUUCCUGAAAAGAAAAAUGAAAUAAAAAAAUUAUUAGAAGGCUUUAGCACAUUUCAAUUUAACUAUAUAUAUUUGUAAUUGAUAAGGAUAAACAGAGUUGCAUAACAAAGUUGAAAUAAUAGAGAAGUUAAACAAGUGUGCUUUGUCUUGCCAUGAACACUGAAAAACUUGAAGAUACAAUAAAAAGUUUGCAACCCAAUGUUUAAUGAUCCUUACCUUCCGAUUGGCAUUUUCUUUUAAAUUCUUCGUGCUUGUUAGAGAACGCAAGAAUGGUUGAGAACGCAAGAAUAGGAAGAUAGGAGAGAAGCUGCAAUGACUAGAGAAGUUGCAAUGAGUCCCUUUUAUAAAUAUUAUAUCCUGCGUGUAUCCUGCGUGUCUCUCCUCCCUCUCUUUUACAAUAUAGAGGAUUCCCUCUCUUCUCCUCCCUCUAUUUUGGAUAUAGAGGAUUUUCUCUUUUAGGUUAUAUAGGAUUCCCUCUUUUAGGAUAUAUUGGCCGUUGAUUUGCUGCUUCCAUUCAAAUUUUCCAAGCCCAACCUCAUUACCUUGUUGUUUUUUUUUUUUUUUUGACAUGACUCAUUAUCUUGUUGUUAGAAUGCAUUGAUACUAAUAAGUUAUAAAAACAGACGUCAAGACUUCUACACACGCAACGUGGGACAAUAUUCUUCCUUGGAAAAAAAAAAAAAAAAAAAAAAGAAUCCUGUUCCUACAGCUGGUUCUCUCACUUCUGCCUUAAUUAUUCAAUAAAUAAAUUUUCACUAUUAACUUUUUCAGUCUUUUGCUCUUUGCUCUCAUAUUUUGUCAUUAAAACAGUUAAUGACAAAAUAUGUGAACAGUGAAUGAACUGUUUAAUAAAAAGAGAUAUUGCCUUUCCAAUCCUAUUCCUACUGCUUUCUCUCACAUCUGCCUUAAUUCCUCAAAUUAUGUGUUUUUCUAUGUGAACAGGGAAUGCAUAACGACGACAAAACGAAUGAAAUCUUCACUUUCUAUUUAUGUCGUCGAUAGAUAGUGAAAAUAACAUUGAAUUAUUAGAUGCCUUAGUACUCGACUGAGCAAAGUCACUAACUGAGCCAAAUCUGAACUGAUUGGAAAAACUUAUUCAAAUAGAAAAUUUUCUAGAUCACAGACUUACCAUAAAUACAACAUUUGUAAUGGAACCAACUUCGCUCGUCACAAGACGUUGUGCAAAUACAACCUGGUCUACAAUCUCUGCAGUAGUCAGAUGUCUCUUCAAACCCAUCCUAAAAAUUGGAUUAUGCAUCAAGAAGAUGUACCUUGUAGAAAGUAACAAUAGCAAUGAUACAGAUACAAAUAAGAAAGAUAUAAAGCUUACAUGCCAGUGUAGGAGAACUGACAAUUCAUGGCACAGCCCACUUGACUUGAAACACAAACUGUCGUCCUACCUCUAUCACAAGGUAUAACGACUGUUUCAAUUACCAGUUCAUCAUCCAACCUAAUAAAAUCUGCAAGCGCCUGUGAGUUUCAAAACCAAUGACAAGAUAAUGCAACGGCUAAAAGCAAAAUAUCGAACCAGAAUAAAGUGACUUCGAGACCAAAAAUACAACAGAUAAUGGUUUUGGCUACCUUCUUAGUUCCAUCGGAUGCAGUACGAACAUCUUCCAGAUAUAUUGCCUUACUCGUGUUCACUCAACAUUUUCCUAAAAUCCUUAUUCAAACCUGAAUAAGGUUAUCAAAGACAAAUUCAUAAGGCUCAGCAUGUCUCUGUUGUUGGAAGAGAGAUUCAAUGUUGCACAUAGAUAGGGAAAUCAAAGGGAGAUAAAAUCAUUUAGCUCACUGACAAGGCUAUAAAACCAGACAACAGAUAGCAUUUCAGAGACAAGGUGGUGUAAGAAUAAGUUCAUCAACAUAAUGCGCCCAAAUAUUUUCCCCAUAAAGACGCUUCCACAGCACAUAGCUUCACCAGGUCUGAAUCCAUGAGAUUGAACCCAUUUCUGGCAUAGUGGAUUCCGCCGUCUACGGUGGCCGGAAAUCGACCAUAGCCGGAAUUGAGCAACAUUUAUACCAAAAUGCUCGAAAUCUUAUGGGGACUACGAUCGCGAGAUCCCCUUGGACUGGGCGUGCCUAUUUUGGCCGGAAAUGACCCCGACAGUGGCUUGCCACUGCCGUCCAUGGCGUUUCCGUCCGUUGAGCCCUGUCGCCGAGAUCAAUGGAAGAGAGAGAGAGAGAGACUCGCCUGGAAUUGAGGAGUCAAAUCGGUGGUCUCCUCGUGGAGUGUCUUCACCGGCGUCGACGGGAUUCGCCGAUAAACGUGUCGCGGCGGCGUUGAAGUAUUCUGGCUCGAUUUCUUCCACCCACGCACUCAAUCGCGCAACCUGAGGCUACAAUGAAGCUUCCCUCGUCGAGAAGAUGGAUUCAGGCUAUGGCUGCGCCUGAAUCCGUGGCCGUUUGGCCGAACAAGAAUUAUAUUUGAAUCGUUAUUUAUUCAAAUUCAAUUCAAUGAACUAAAAAUGCUAAAUUUAGAAUUCAUACCAAAAUGGGGAAAUUGGUCUUAGAACGUACCGAUUGAGAUUCGAACUACCACUCCUCGUCCGCGCGAAGAGGAGACCAAUAUGUCUCAUGGGGCCUCGCAGGAGAAUCGCCGGCCGUUCGCCUGAGAGGACGCCGUCUACGGUUGCCGGGAAUUUAAUAAAAAUUCAAAAUUUGGAAAAUAAAAAUACGGGCUAAACAGCUACGUUAUUUCAAAAAGGAAUUACUAAGGUAAAUCAGGUAAAUCAACGUGCUCUUCUACACUAGGACAACUUAUAAUUUCAAUUACCUAGUUGAAUUUUUUUCGUAGUUCAUUAAUUAAACGCUAAUAUUAGUACUCAGUAUGAAGGAGAGGCAGGGUCGGGUCGUGGAGAGAUAGUGAGAUGUGGGCUUUACCAAAUAAAUUGACUAUGGAAGUUGGGAAUACAUACGGUCUUUAAGAUUAGGAUUUUUUUUUUUUUGUUUAUUUUUUUCAAACGAUUAUAAAAAUAAUUGAAUAAAUGAAAUUAAAGGACUAUCACUGAAAUUAAAUAAAAAUUCUAUCUCUUUUCCAUUUUAUGGUAACUACACAAAAUAGCACAUUGUCAGUCGAUAUAUAGCUAAAGAGCUACAUUAUUUCAAUUCGAUAUAUAAUCAGAGAGCUGCGUUAUUUCAAAAAAAAAAUUACAUAGAUAAAUUGUCAUGCUCUUAUAUAACAUAACUUAUGAUUUCAAUUGUCUCUCUCGUAGUUUACUCUUCUGUAACUUGACUUGUGAUUCCAAUUAUUUUAUUGAAUUUCUCUCGUAAUUUGCUUCCAAUUAUCUGGUUGAAUCUCUCUCGUAAUUUACUGAUUAAACUGUAAAUAUUAUCCCUUGAGUUUUAUACUACUUUAGUUAACAAGGAGGCCCAUAAGAUUAAAAUGAUCCAACCCAAAAUUGGCAAAACCAUAAGCACAAGUGCAACUACGGCUAAUCCAAGAGCAAAUAAGCCAACUUUGCUAGUAAUUGAAUUGAAGGAGUUCCAAGCUUGAAAGAUAGUUCCAAACCCAUAUGUGAGUAGAGCAAUAAGAAAGAUUGGUAAUAUAAUGUGUGUGUCUGUAUCAACCAAAGGCUUGAUUUGAAUGAGGCCAAUUAAACUUGCUAUGGUCAAGGUGAAAACACUGUGUACUGCUGCAUUAAAAUUUUCCCUGAAAAGAAAAAUGAAAUAAAAAAACUAUUAGAAGGUUUUAGCACAUUUCAAUUUAACUAUAUAUAUAUAUUUGUAAUUGAUACGGAUAAACAAAGUUGCAUAAAUUUUAUAGACUUAGCAAUAAUUGGAAAAUGGAUAAAAAUUUUGGAAGAGUUUUUAAUAAUCUUUCAUGAAUUGAAUAAAGAUUGAUGGCUUGAAAUGAUAGAGAAGUUGAACUUGAACAAGUGUGCUCCGUCUAGCCAUGAAAGAAACACUGAAAAACUACAAGAUACAAUAAAAAGUUUGCAACCCAAUAUUUAAUGAUACUUACCUUGCGAAUGGCAUUUUCUUUUAAAUUCUUCGUGCUUGUUAGAGAACGCAAGAAUAGGAAGAUAGGAGAGAAGCUGGCAAUGACUAGAGAGUAACUCUGUGGUCCUUUCUUUUAAUGUAGAUCACUUCUGUCGCUCUCUUCAAAUCACAGUGGGUGGUCCUUUCUUCAACACUAGAGACUAACUCUUUCUUCAACACUAGAGAGUAACUCUGUGGUCCUUUCUUCAAAUGUAGAUCACUUCUGUCGCUCUCUUCAAAUCACAGUGGUCCUUUCUUCAACUUUAGAUCAUGGUCCUUUCUUCAAAUGUAACUCUUUCUUCAACACUAGAGAGUAACUCUGUGGUCCUUUCUUCAAAUGUAGAUCACUUCUGUCGCUCUCUUCAAAUCACAGUGGUCCUUUCUUCAAAUGUGGAUCAUGGUCCUUUCUUCAAAUGUAACUCUUUUCUUCAAGACUAGAGAGUAACUCUGUGGUCCUUUCUUCAAAUGUAGAUCACUUCUGUCGCUCUCUUCAAAUCACAGUCGUCCUUUCUUCAACUGUAGGAUCAUGGUCCUUUCUUCAAAUGUAACUCUUUCUUCAACACUAGAGAGUAACUCUCUUCUCUCUGCAAAUCACAGUGGUCCUUUCUUCAAAUGUAACUCUUUUCUUCAAGACUAGAGAGUAACACUGUGGUCCUUUCUUCAAAUGUAGAUCACUUCUGUCGCUCUCUUCAAAUCACAGUGUUCCUCUCAUAUUUUGCAUAUGGCCACAACUAAGAUUAUAAGUUAACAUUACUUUAUAUGGGCCGUUGAUUUGCUUCUUCGAUUCAAUUUUUCCAAGCCCAACCUCUUUCCAAGCUCAAUCUCAUUACCUUGUUGUCAGAAUUUACAGAUACUAACAGGUAAUAAAAAAAGAUUUCAAGACUUUUACACAGGCAAUAUGGGACAAUAUUAUUCUUUGGAAAAAAAAAAGGCUAUCAUUGCUGUCUUCCGAUUGCCUUUCCAAUCAGAUUCCUACUGCUGUUUCUCUCACAUCUGGCUAACUAAAAAUCUAUUUUCUCUCACUCAAACCAAGAUCUUUGAAAAAUAGAGAUUAAUACUUCAAGGAUGUAAUAACUCUCCUUCAAAUAUCUAAUAGAGCUAGACUAGAGACACUUAAAAAAAAAUCCAUUACAAUAGCUACAGCAAAACGAAUACAGAAACAUACAAGGGUUAGAAGGCUUUUAAAUUUCCCCUGAAAAGAAAAAUGAAAUAAAAAAAACUAUUAGAAGGCUUUAGCACAUUUCAAUUUAACUAUAUAUAUUUGUAAUUCAUAAGGAUAAACAAAGUUGCAUAAAUUUUAUAGACUUGGCAAUAAUUGCAAAAUGGAUAAAAAUUUUGGAAGAGUUUUGAAUAAUUUUUAAUGAAUUUUAAUAAAGAUUGAUAGCUUGAAAUGAGGAGAGAAGUGAAUCAAAUACUGAAAAACUUGAAGAUACAAUAAAAAGUUUGCAACCCAAUAUUUAAUUAUACUUACCUUUCGCUUGGCAUUCUUUUAAAUUCUUCGUGCUUGUUAGAGAACGGAAGAGUAGGAAGAUAGGAGAGCAGCUGCAAUGACUAGAGAGCGAGAGCUGAGUAGUAGCGCUUAGUUUUUUCUGAUGACAGCGACACGCGACUGUCAUUUCUUUGUUACUUUUGAGUAGUGGCGUAUUACUACAGUAGCGCUUCAACUAAAUCUCAUAUUUUUAGUUUUUUCUUAUGAGAGCGACGCGCGACUGUCAUUUUCCAGUCUAGUUUGCAUAUGGCCACAACUAAGAUUAUAAGUUAACAUGACUUUAUAUGGGCCGUUGAUUUGCUUCUUCCAUUCAAAUUUUCCAAGCUCAACCUCAUUCAAUUUUUCCAUUUUGGUCUGAUGGGCCGUUGAUUUUUGGAUUCAAUUUUUCCAAGCCCAACCUCAUUACCUUGUUGUCAGAAUCUACAGAUACUAACAGGUAAUAAAAAAAGAUUUCAAGACUUUUACACAUGCAAUAAAUGACAAGAAGAAAAUGCCAAUUCAGUUUAGAAAUAGAUAAUACUAAACUGAAUUCAAAAUGUCCUUUAGUAUCCUAAAGGGUUAAAAUCAAUCUUAAAUGACAAGAAGAAAAUGCCAAUUCAUUUUCUUUGGAAUGCAAAAAUCCAUUUAAGAUAUUGUGAGAGAAUAAAUGUUCGUUUACUAAUGCAGCCUAAAUUUCAUAGAGAUCUGAACAUCCAUUGCGAACACCCAGCAAAUGCAAGCAGACAAAUUCAUAUGAACCAGCAAAUAGCAAUACAAGGAUAUCAGCAUCCCAAAUAAAAAAUUGCUACGUGUGAAAAUUGUGGCGUGAAAGGUUACUCACCAGUACUUGAUCAAGCCAUCCCAACUGCAAGUUGCCACUUUGCUUUGCUCCAAUGGAUGCCACUCGCACCCAUGCACACACCCUCAUGACACUUGUCCAGAAAACCUUACAACUCUUCCAGUCCCAAAACCAGCAUUUACCCUCACCGUCUCCUGACAUAACAAACCGUCCAUCUGGUGAGAAAUUUACUUGGCAAGCAAAACCUGCCACAAUAUGCUCAGCAAACCGCUGGUGCACCUCUCCUAACUAUUGCAAUUCAGUUUCCUCUGAGAAACCUCAGGAGCAUUUGCUGGGUCAUCAUCCAAGAAUUUUCUUAGUUUGAUAUAAAUCAUUGUAAUAUUAGAUGAGUUUAUCUGGUCAUAUUCCCCAGUGCCAUUGUCAUGCAUAGUUGCAUACAUUCACAGCCUGUGAAAGAUAUCAAUGGACCACAAAUGCACCAAAAAAUAGUAGGCAGAGUGCUUUUACCGUCCACAUCCUUUUUUGAUCCCCUCGUGAUAAUGCAUAAAAUUGAGGGUGUUAAUGAUACAGGUUGAAAAUAUAAUAUCAUAUGAAGGGUUUAAAAGCACAUCAAACAAAUCGUUCUUGCCAAAACUAAAUAGAAACAAGUCAGCAACUGGUAGUCUGGUACCACAACUAAACAUGCUAAAGUAAUUGACAAAGCAACUGCAUACAUCUAUCUUUCUGACUUGCAAUAUCAUGCAGUCAACAUUCACAAUGUCAAUCAUGCAGUUACCCUAACAGUAGCACAAGAUAUUUCAUAUGGCCAAACAUAUUAUCAAAUAUCAAAUAAAACUGAGAAAGGAAAAUGUUUAUCUAACCUGUCAUUUACUCCUGCAAGCAUCACAUACUCGAACAGAACUUUGUAAUUCUUUCUGGAUUGGAGUUCCUUCCGAAGGGUGUCAAGAAGCAAGCUUAAAUUGUAUUUCCGGUUAAUUGGCAUGAUCCAGUUUCUUACCUGCAUGGUUUAUUAGUUAAAGAGAAAGUCAACAACCUGCAUGUGUUUCUCAAGUGAAUAAACAUACAGAUAUAAAUGAAAAUGCACCUCAUCAGUUGUCGCAUUCAGACUAACAGCUAAAGCACAAUUGGAUUCACGAAGGAAACGUUUCAACUGGGGGACAAGCCCGCUUGUAGAAACAGUUACCUUGCGAGAACUAAAAUGAAGACCAUGCUCAUGCACCAUAAUAUCGGCAGCUUUUAUGACAUUUUCAAUUCUGAAGUGGUUCUCCCAUUCCCUGCAAAUAUAUAUUUCAAAGCAAAUUAUUAGAAAUUAUUGGGCUAACUAAAAAAUCUAUUUUCUCUCACUUAAACCAAGAUCUUUGAAAAAUAGGGAUUAAUACUUCAUGGAUGUAAUAACUCACCUUCAAAUAUCUAAUAGAGCUAGACUAGAGACACUUCNNNNNNNNNNAAAAAAAAAAAAAAAAAAAAAAAACGAUUACAAUAGCUGCAGCAAAAGGAAUACAGAAACAUACAAGGGUUAGAAGGGUGUAAAUGCGCAUAGGUAGUGGAUACGCAAUCCAUGAAUAGUAUUGUUGAACGGUUGGACAAGUAUUCCGAUCAAUGCACAAGGAAACACAUGGACUUAAUUCCUCAAAUUAUGUGUUUUUCUAGGUAACCAGGGAAUGCAUAAUGACAACAAAACGAAUGAAAUCUUCACUUUCAAUUUAUGUUGUUGAUAGAUAGUGAAAAUAACAUUGAAUUAUUAGAUGCCUUAGUAUUGGACUGAGCGAAGUCACUAACUGAGCCAAAUCUGAACUGAUUGGGAAAACUUCUGUUAAUAGAAAAUUUUCUAGAUCACAGACUUACCAUAAAUACAACAUUUGUGAUCGAACCAACUUUGCUUGUUACAAGACGUUCUGCAAAUACAACCUGGUCUACAAUCUCUGCAGUAGUUAGAUGUCUCUUCAAACCCAUCCUCAAAAUUGCAUUAUGCAUCAAGAAGAUGUACCUUGUAGAAAGUAACAAUAGCAAUAAUACAAAUACAAAUAAGAAAGAUAUAAAGCUUACCUGCCAGUGUAGCACAACUGACAAUUCAUGGCACAGCCCACUUGACUUCAAAACACAAACUGUCGUCUUACCUCUAUCACAAGGUAUGACGACUUUUUCAAUUACCAGUUCAUCAUCCAACCUAAAUAAAAUCUGCAAGCUCCUGUGAGUUUCAGAACCAAUGAGAAGAUAAUGCAACUGCUAAAAGCAAUAUAUCGAACCAGAAUCAAGUGACUUCGAGACCAAAAAUACAACAAUAAUGGUUUUAGCUACCUUCUUAGUUCCAUCAGAUGCAGUACAAACAUCUUCCAAAGAUAUUACCUCAAAUUCUGCGUGUUCACUCAACAUUUUCCCAAAAUCCUUAUUCAACCCUGAAUAAGGUUAUCAAAGACAAAAUUCAUAAGGCUCAGCAUGUCUCUCUUGUUGGAAUAGAGAUUCAAUUUUUCACAUAGACAGGGACAUCAAAGGGAGAUAAAAUCAUUUAGCUCACUGAAAAGGCUAUAAAACCGGACAAUAGAUAGCAUUUCAGAGACAAGGUGCUGGAAGAAUACCUUCUAGCUCAUCAACAUAAUGCGCUCAAAUAUUUUCCCCAUAAAGACGCUUCCACAGCAUCAUAGCUUGACCAGGUCUGAAUCCAUGAGAUUGAACCCAUUUCUGGCAUAGUGGAUUCCCACAAUUAUUACUUGGAAAACUUUAACAUAAAAUUAUAUAUAAAUUCUCAUAUUUGGAAUAUUAGAAUUUAUUUUGAAUUUCUAGUCUAGCUAGCUUGGACCACAGUUUAAAAUUGUAUACUUUUUUGAGUUUAGUAUAGGAAGAAAAGGAGAGUAGAAAAACACACUUCAAGCUCAGUGUAAUUCAUUCCCUUAAGAAGCACCUUUGAACCCUUGGUUAGAAUAGCAUUCAUGUCUCUACUUCCUACACAAAUAAACAGCCACAAAACAAAUAAAUAAACAAAAUGGGAGCUCCAAAAACAACAUAUGUUACUAGGAAACGAUUUAUCUGCUUACCCAUAUCAACAGGAAGUAGUGACGAUGAACAAGCGGCGGUAGAAACGGAACGAGGAGAUGGAGAUUGGGCGGUGGCGGUGAUGAAGAGAGUUCUUUUAGAGAGGAAAGAGAGAGAUGAGAUCGAUUAGGGUAAGUAAUUGAGAGCGAAGCGGAUGAGGAGGCCAUUGAAGGGUGAUUUACAAGAACCACUGACCGCACGCGCCUCAUCCACAUACAACCCAUCUCCAUUCUCUGAUUUCUUGUAGCCCGAAAGUAUAACAUGUUCAUUUGAUGAAAAUGAAGAGAGUGGGCCUUUAUAUGAGAGUAGGCCUGUCUCUGGCGUGGUUAUAUGUGCUUUUUGUGGUUAUGGUGUGGUUCUGCAACUCACUUGAAAUGCCUAAGUGCUACCCUUUAUAGGAGACAGCUGAUUUGAAAAAUUGAAAUGCCACAGGGGCCAGUGCUGCCCUUUGUAUCCAAUUCGGAGUUGUUGAUGUUUAUACCGAUCAAUCAUAGAAGAAAAAUUUAGAGUCUGCACCAACUUGAAAUAAAGUUCUUUAACAAAAACUUUCCAGACCCAACGUAUAUAAAUAUUAUAUUAUUCUAGGAAUGAAGAGUUCCAUGUUAAGCGGCAUAAGGUGAAGUUUGUGUCUUUUUUUUUUUUAAUUUUUUUUUUGGCUGUUUUUUGAAUUCAAUAGAUAAAAGAAUUCUUUAAGAAAGUGCAGUCAUCUAUGAUACCGCGGUACGUUAACAAAGUGCGAGGGUGCUUUUGGUACCGCGGGAGGGGACUGCCAUCUAAUAGUGGACAAUGCCACAGCCAAGUGAUGCAACUAAAGCCUUGGCUAUAGCAGGUUGCCAAGUGAUGUCAUUUAGGACGACAAUAUUAUGUGCCUCAUCGAAUAUUUACCCAACAUUGACCGAAUACAGAUAAAACAUAUUCGAUGAGGCACAUUUGCUUCGUGAAUAGCAAACUACUGUUUUGCGUCCAUCUUAUUUUUUUUAUCUGGAGAAAUUACUGUUUUGUUCUUUGGAAUUAGUGUGCGAUUUAUCAUUAAUAUGUUGACUGAUGUGACUUUUGGGCCUUUGUUUUUGCCUUGAAGAAAUUGUGUGGUCUCUCUGCUGUUAAUUGAUUAAGCAGCCAUACAGAGUCUUCUUCUUUUAUGAUAAUGUGCAUAAACUAUUUGCUAGAUAUUUUUUAACUUAGUUUUCCUAAUCAGUUAAAUUUCAAAUGUUGAAAUCUAUUGCUCAGAUUUCAGGGAUAAAUUUGUAGCAACUGAAUGUUAUUAUAGAGUCUCGAUGAGUUUUUCCUUCCCUUAUAAAUUGUUAUUACAGGUAAAGUUUUCGACAGUUGAAUUAUUUAGUGCGAGUAAGUUUUUGAAUUCUCAACUCACCUGCUCCUUACUUUCCUUGUGUGCCUUCUUCACGGAUUGACAAGAAUGUUAUGAAUAUGUAUUUCAAAAGCUGACUCUUAGGCGUUUCACCCUAAACAUAAAUUCACUAUUUAGCUUUAUUACUUAAAUUUUACUGCACUUUUAAUUUUUAUUUUAAUUCAUUUAAUAUUUUAAUUUAUAAAAUUAUUUUAUUAAAUAUUUCAAUUUGCAAAAUAGAUCAAUUAAACACCUAUGAAAUAAUUAAAAUUUAUAAAAAUUAUUAUUCAAAAAAUUUUAAAAACUAUAAUUGUUAAUGUGAAAAAAUAUUUAAUAUUAUCAAAAUUUAUAAAUUCAAAUAUAUGAUAAAUCAUCAUAAAAUUUAGAAUAGAAAGAAUUAAAGUUACAAAAUUGAAGAAUAAAUUUAUAUAUUUAGUGAUUUUUCAAGAUUUGAAAUAAUGUUUUUUUGGCAUUUUUCAAUUGUAAAAAUUAUUAGGGUAUUAUAUAAAUAGUUUUUUGUUAAGAGCUGAAAUAAUGUAAGAAGAAGUAAUGUAAGAAAAUGCUAAGCUGAAAUAUUUUUUUAUUUUAUGGCUUUCAAAGAAAUAAUGUAAGAAAAUGCUAAACUCAAUCCGGCCAAAAAAAUAAUCAAACAAAAUCAACUUUAAAAAAAAAAAAGAAAAUAAUAAAAAAUAGGCUAAAGUCAAAGGAUGGUGUUAUAGUUAAACAAAAUAUUAAGGGCUGAAUGGGAAUUUUCCCACGUGGGUUAUAUCUACAUUACUUCAGUCCACGUGUGAUUAUAUGGGUUGUGAUGGGCUGUUGAUUCGAUUCAAUUUUUUCAAGCCCAACCUCAUUACCUUGUUUUGCUGCUGCCCGGAUACACAAGAACUACUGUUCGCAUAAUUUGUAGAAAAUGUCGCGAAUACGUAUUUCAAAACGGAAGCUUAAUCAAUUUGCCCAUAUUUUACCCUAUUAAGUGUGUUUUAUACGUUUUGGGGUUUAUUUAGGUUUAAUACGCAAAUGCAUCUUUUAUUUUUAUUACUUUAUUACUUUAAUUUUGUGAUGCUGUCAAUUUUUAUUGUCUCCUUAAAUGCUUCAUUUUAUAAAAAUUACAUUUAUUAAAUAUUUCAAUUUACAAAAUAGAUUAGUUAGAUACCUAUUAAAUAAUUGAUUAUUAUAAAUAUUAUUAUUUCAAAAUUUAAGCUAAACUACAUAUCGAAUUGAUAUUUUGUAGAUAAGAGCCAAAAAUCUUAAAAAUUAUUGUUAUUAAUGUGAAAAUACGUGUAAUAAUUAAAAUUACAAAGUUCGUGAAUUUAAGUAUUCAGACUUUCUCAAGAUUUUAAAUAAUAUUUACUUUGACAUUUAUCAAUUCUAAAAAACCAAUAAUUGAUCAAAGUUCCAAGGGGUGACAUCAAAUGAAAGAAUAAAAACUAUUUAACAAGGAAGAAAAGAAGAGAAUACCACAAAAUUGCAACUAAAAAGCUAAGCCAAAAUCAUUAAUUAAAUUAUAUUUCUAGUUUAAAUGAUACAAAAUAUGAAGACCCCAAAUUCUCACCAACCGGUACACUAAAAUUUCAAUGGAGAAUGAUACAAUUUGGCUCUUCCGAUCUCUACUCUCUCUAUACCACGGAACGUGCAGCCCUCCAACCAGCAGAAUAUGUAUUGUCUUCUCUCUAUUAUAACAGCAGAAGUGGGCAAAUCAAUUGAUGUAGGAAGAAGAAAUUAGUCCCUGCAAAACAAAGCAAAAGGUUAAAAUGCUAGCUUUUCAUUCAAGGAGGAACGGCUCUCAAAAUGUCUCUGGCAUCGCAAAUUUACAAGUGAUGAUGCAAAGGUUAUGAUGUCUUCUGAAAUUAUCUAGAAAUUAAAUGUUCAUAAUAUAAAUUCCAGCUUAUGUUAAAUUCAAAACAAAAUUGGCACAUUCACCAAAAUAAAUGAAAAUCUUCAUUUAUCCAAUAGCAAAGGUUCUUCCGCUGCAGUUUAUAUCCAUUAGAAAACUAAAAACCUUGUGGGUCAUAAUCAAUAAACGGAAUCAGGAGGAGAUGUUGAAUAAUUGAAAGAGGAAAUUAAGAGGGUUAUCUCUGCCAAAGCAAUGGAAUUCACAACACUUUACAGAAACUUCCAUUCAAAAUGCAUAUGGUUUCAUCUUCUUCUGCUUCCAAUUAAAAUAUAUAUAAAAUAACACAUAAAUGCAGAAUCCGGAUAAUGUAAUAUAAGGGGAUCGUGACUCUACAACGUGAUUUUGAAAAUUUGCAGCAGCACAACAACAGCAGCCAAGCCCUUAGCCACAAAUUAGCUGGGAAUUUGCACAAAUACACAAAAUCUUUUGUUUUCUUAUGGCUCUAUUAGCUAUAGAUAAUACUAAACUGAAUUCAAAAUGUCCUUUAGUAUCCUAAAGGGUUAAAAUCAAUCUUAAAUGACAAGAAGAAAACGCCAAUUCAUUUUGUUUGGAAUGCAAAAAUAUCAUGCAGUUACCCUAACAGUAGCACAAGAUAUUUCAUAUGGCUAAACAUAUUUUCAAAUAUCAAAUAAAACUGAGAGGGGAAAAUGUUUAUCCAACCUGUCAUUUACUCCUGCAAGCAUCACAUACUCGAACAAAACUUUGUAAUUCUUUCUGGAUUGGAGUUCCUUCCGAAGGGUGUCUAGAAGCAAGCCUAAAUUGUAUUUCCGGUUAAUUGGCAUGAUCUAGUUUCUUACCUGCAUGGUUUAUUAGUUAAAGAGAAAGUCACCAACCUGGAUGUGUUUCUCAAGUGAAUAAACAUAUGGAUAUAAAUGAAAAUGCACCUCAUCAGUUGUUGCAUUCAGACUAACAGCCAAAGCACAAUUGAAUUCAUGAAGGAAACGUUUCAACUGGGGGACAAGCCCGCUUGUAGAAAUAGUGACUUUGCGAGGACUAAAAUGAAGACCCUGCUCAUGCACCAUAAUAUCUGCAGCUUUUAUGACAUUUUCAAUGCUCUGAAGUGGUUCUCCCAUUCCCUUCAAAUACAUAUUUCAAAGCGAAUUAUUAGAAAUUAUUGGGCUAACUAAAAAUCUAUUUCCUCUCACUUAAACCAAGAUCUUCGAAAAAUAGGGAUUAAUACUUCAUGGAUGUAAUAACUCUCCUUCAAGUAUCUAAUAGAGCUAGACUAGAGACACUUCACAAAAAAAAAAUCCAUUACGAUAGCUGCAGCAAAACGAAUACAGAAACAUACAAGGGUUAGAAGGGUGUAAAUGCCCAUAGGUAGUAGAUAUUCAAUCCAGGAAUAGUAUUGUUGAAUGGUUGGACAAGUAUCCCGAUCAAUGAUUAAGGAAACACAUGGACUUAAUUCCACAAAUUAUGUGUUUUUCUAUGUGACCAGGGAAUGCAUGACAACCACAAAACGAAUGAAAUCUUCACUUUCUAUUUAUGUUGUCGAUAGAUAGUGAAAAUAACAUUGAAUUAUUAGAUGCCUUAGUACUGGACUGAGCAAAGUCACUAACUGAGCCAAAUCUGAACUGAUUGGAAAAACUUCUGUUAAUAGAAAAUUUUCUAGAUCACAGACUUACAAUAAAUACAACAUUUGAGAUGGAACCAACUUCGCUCGUCACAAGAUAUUGUGCAAAUACAACCUGGUCUACAAUCUCUGCAGUAGUCAGAUGUCUCUUCAAACCCAUCCUAAAAAUUGGAUUAUGCAUCAAGAAGAUGUACCUUGUAGAAAGUAACAUAGCAAUAAUACAGAUACAAAUAAGAACGAUAUAAAGCUUACCUGCCAGUGUAGGAGAACUCACAAUUCAUGGCACAGCCCACUUGACUUGAAACACAAACUGUCGUCCUACCUCUAUCACAAGGUAUGACGACUGUUUCAAUUACCAGUUCACCAUCCAACCUAAAUAAAAUCUGCAAGCUCCUGUGAGCUUCAAAACCAAUCAGAAGAUAAUGCAACUGCUAAAAGCAACAUAUCGAACCAGAAUAAAGUGACUUUGAGACCAAAAAUACAACAGAUAAUGGUUUUGGCUACCUUCUUAGUUCCAUCGGAUGAAGUACGAACAUCUUCCAAAGAUAUUGCCUUAAAUUCUGCGUGUUCACUCAACAUUUUCCUAAAAUCCUUAUUCAAACCUGAAUAAGGUUAUCAAAGACAAAAUUCAUAAGGCUCAGCAUGUCUCUCUUGUUGGAAGAGAGAUUCAAUUUUGCACAUACAUAAGGACAUCAAAGGGAGAUAAAAUCAUUUAGCUCACUGAAAAGGCUAUAAAACCAGACAAUAGAUAGCAUUUGAGAGACAAGGUGGUGUAAGAAUACCUUCUAGUUCGUCAACAUAAUGCGCCCAAAUAUUUUCCCCAUAAAGACGCUACCACAGCAUCAUAUCUUGACCAGGUGUGGAUCCAUGAGAUUGAACCCAUUUCUGGCAUAGUGGAUUCCUACAAUUAUUGCUUGGAAAACUUGAACAUAAAAUUAUACAUAAAUUCUCAUGUUUGGAAUAUUAGAAUUCAUUUUGAAUUUAUAGUCUAGCUAGCUUGUACCACAGUUUAAAAUUAUAUACUUUUUUGAGUUUAGCAUAGGAAGAAAAAGAGAGUAGAAAAACACACUUCAAGCUCAGUGUAAUUCAUUCCCUUAAGAAGCACCUUUGAACCCUUGGUUAGAAUAGCAUUCCUGACU
Molecule: long non-coding RNA, 71414 nt
Filed under: Jatropha curcas
Lineage: Eukaryota; Viridiplantae; Streptophyta; Magnoliopsida; Malpighiales; Euphorbiaceae
Description: long non-coding RNA (JCUR_LNC002704)
Source: RNAcentral